Molecule: long non-coding RNA, 77915 nt
Filed under: Eucalyptus grandis
Lineage: Eukaryota; Viridiplantae; Streptophyta; Magnoliopsida; Myrtales; Myrtaceae
Description: long non-coding RNA (EGRA_LNC002838)
Source: RNAcentral
UUCGACUGAAAUGAAACUCACGAACCCGCUUCAAACAGCUUCGCUCUCCUAUAUCUCGGUUCGAAGGUGGAUGGACACAGAUCCCAAACAAUGGAGCAGAGCGAUAAGGAGAUUCUAUUUUUGGCCAUGAGGGAUUAUGGAUUGGAAUGUAUUAAGAUAGGUCACAAAGUUUUGUGAUUUAUAAAUUUCAAUUAGGCGUUUAUAAAAUUAAGGUUUAAGGAGGAUUAUUAGGAUGAGGUGUGGGCCAAAGUAUUAGCUCAAGACCAUCCCACAAGAAGCUUUACCCUUCGGCCAUUUGGGUCUAGCCGCGAAGCCCAAAGGAGGAGGAGGAGCCGCCGGCCCAUGACUGGCCUCAAGCCCAGCCAAAUGGAGCCCCAUUGGGCUAUUGAAAAGAGGAACCAGCCCAUGAGAGGCCCACUCCUUUGCAUGAAGAUUUUGCCAAGUGUUAAUUCCCUUUGUCCAUGUGUCAUUCAUGCAAAAGCAAUGAUUGUUCAUCAUUGAGGAGAGGAAAAUUGAGGGAACUGGUUGAUGAUGAAGGGAAAGCGUCGCCAGAGAGAGGGAGUGAGAGAGAGAGCUACCGAGGGGAAGAGAGAAAUCAAGAGAGCAGAAGAGAGGAAAGAAAGGGAGCUGUCCGUCGACCAUCCGCCGUGUGUCCGUCCCUCGUUGCCAUCCGUGUGCUUGUUGUUUGCUCGGUAUAGAGGCAAGUUGGGAUCCUUAAUCUGCUCUUGCAUGCUAUGUCUAGUAUGUGUGCUUGAAUGGUGAUAGAAUUCGGAUGUUUAGGGUGUUAAAAGUGGAAGUUUUAAGAGGGAUGUUUGAGACUAGUAAACAGUUCUUGAAAAAACAGUUCGACCUUGGAUGUUUUAUUGGCUUGCAUGUGUUGUUUGAGUUGGAUUUUAGCCGUGACUUCUAAAUGAAAGUUGUUAAGGAAUUCUUGAAAUAUAACAUACUCAAAUUUGGGACAAAACGAAUAAGUAUAAGUGGGUGAAAUUCCUUAUUUUUUCGGAGAGACUGAAUCUGGAGAUUUCGGUAACUACCUUUGAUGAAUGCAUGGUCUGUAAGCCUAUCUUUUUGUUGAAGUUUCACUUCAAUUUCUUAUUGAAAGAUGUAAAGCACAUCCUGAGGUUUAACAUAUCAAAAAAAUUAGAGAAAAAUAACAAGAAUAGAUAGGUAAAAUCGUGGUUUUUCGGAAGUAGUCAGAUCUGGAAACUUCGGUAUUGAAACAAAAGAUUUAACCGUCUAUAUUAAAUCAUCUAGAACGAAUUUGACUUUUAUUUAUUCAUUAAAAACCUACCUUAUGAUCUUGACUACAACAUAGUCGAAUUUCAUGAAUUUUGAAGGUCAUUAGGGUAUUUAAUCGGAAAUAUUUCAAAAACCGUGUAAUCUGACGCGUUUGGACUUAGUCAGUUUCAAUGCAUGGGGCAUAUCAUUUUUUAUGAAGCUCUUUCGGCAAAGUUUUCUUCACAAAGUAUCUUUCGUUAUGUCUUCCCUGAAACAUAUUCAAAUUUCAUAAUUGUUGAAUUACAUUUGCCUAUUUAACCAAAAAUGUUUCAAAAACUGUGCAAGCUGUAUUGUUAGAAUAGUAAUGCUAUGAUGCACGGUCUAUAUCAAAUGUUAUGAGGGUCUUUUGGUGUGGUUUCCUUCAUGAAAUAUCUGACUUUAUGUCUUUACUAUCACAUGUUCGAAUUUCGUAAUUUUUAAAGGUCAUUUGGGUAUUUAAUGGAAAUAUUUUCUAAAACUGUGCAAGCUGGAUUGAGCGAAUUUUAAAUGCUGUAAGCUAUGAUUAUUCUGUUUUGGAUGAGCCCCAUGAAUUAUAUUGAUUGAGGUGAUUGAAUCUUGCUGAGCAUGUGAUGAUAUUUGGCAUUGCAUAUAUAAUCAAAUGCUGAAAUUGACUUUGUUGCCAUUACAUCAUGUGCCAUGUUGAUUGUGAGACAUAAAUUGGUGAAUAUGAAUUAUGAUGAAUGAGGAGACUGUUGGAGGUGGGCCAAUAAUGCCCUAGGAGUGUCAGGAUGCCCGGGAUGGGGGGUGCCGGAUGCCCGAAUGUAUUGUGGUACAUGCCCGGAUGUUCUCAGGAGUUUCGAGAUGCCCAGAAUGGUUGGGUGCCGGAAGCCUUGGAGGUUUGUGCCCGGGGAAUGCCUCAUGAUGCCAUGCCAGUUGGGAUGCGAGAUGCCCGGAAUGUGGGGGUGCCGAAUGCCCGAUGGUGUGCGUCGGAGGUUUUCUCGUGAUGCCAGGUUGGGGUGCGAGUGAUAAUGUGGGAUGCAAUUACUGAUCCCGGGGAAGAAAGAUGUGGUGAUCAAAUUAAAAGAUAAAAAGUGGAAACUGAAUCAUGCAUGGUAUAGUGAUAUGUAUGCAUGGCUGUAUGAUAUGAUGUGUAUGAGUGCAUGGCUGUAUGUGCACCUAUGGCAUGAUGGUAUAUGAAUGAAAGCUUGGUGAUGAGUGCAUGAGGAUGUAUGCACAUAUGGUAUGAUGACAUAUGCAUGGCUGAAAGGUAAGUUAUGCUUGGAUGCAUAGAUGAUAUGUACUAUGCUAUGAUGUUGUGAUUGUAUUUGUGAUGCAUUGAGUAGUUUACUGGAUCUUUUACCUGCUAAGUGGUUGUACUCACCUCUUCAAAGACCAACAUUUCAGAUUAGGAAGAUGGCACUCUCUCCAGUCACGCAGGGUACCUUUUAUGGCCUCUGUGACAUCCAGAUUUUCGAGUUCUAAUUUCGACUGGAUAAAUAGGGCCGUUUUUGUUCAGUUGAAGCCAGGGAUUGUGAAUUCGGGAUACAAGUGGGCUAUACUGAUAAGAAAAAGUACCAAUUUUAUCGAUGAAAUAUUGAAUGAAAUUAUGGGGGUCAAAUUGAUUUGAUUCAAGUGGGAUUAAGGUUUAAAUUGGGAAGAAAACCUAGCAAAAAUUCGUAUGCCCAUAAACCCAACUUUUUGAACUACCUAAAUGCUUCUAGAAGGGGGCAUAUUUGUCAAAAAUUGAAGAGUGGGAGACAGCUGGUGGUGGCCAUGUGUGGCUGACCUAAGAGAGAGAGAGAGAGUGUGAGAGAAAAGAAAGGGAAAUUGAGUUUUUCUUCCUCCCCUCUCUCCUCCUCCGUCGACAAAUCCUCCCCCAUCCCCCUUUUCAACUACUUGACUCCAUGGGAGCCGAAGACCAGUGAAGACUGAGCUGCAGUCGCUGCCUCUCGCCGUCGUCAUCGCACGCCCGAAAGCACCAGAGCUGCUCGCGCACCCGAGCUCGCCACCGUGCUGCCGUCCGCGCACCUCCGCCCUCUCUCUCUUUUGUCGAGCUCUGUCCUCCAUCUCCGGUUGUUGCUUGACAAAACCCAGCAAGUCAAAGAAGCCGCACAUCGCCUGGAGCCACCUUUCGUCGCCAUCAUCGCUCACCGAAGCCGGAGCCGCUGUCGCUGCUCCGCCCCACCAGUGCCUCACCGCACGCAGCUCCGCCUUCAGUUGCAUCGUCCCUAGCUUGGCCGACGUCCUGAGCUGCUGUCCAGCUCGUGCAAGAGCCGCUGGAGCUUCCUAUGACCACCUCCGGCCACCGUGAAGCCCCGCCUAGGUUCAGUUCGGCCCCUCCGUCCAUUUCCAACCCAACCUAGCUCUGGAUCCGCCCUCCUUCGCCCCCAACCAGCAACGCACAGAGAGUGCAGAAAAUGGGUAUCGCAGUGGGUUUUGGCCCGUUUUGGCCGUCUUCCCGAGCCCGGAUGCUCGGCCUGCUUUGAGGAAAGUCGAUCCUCGUGUCGAGCCCGUCGUUUUGAGUGAGUUUUACUCACUAAUGCCUUCUUAGUGUGCUAAUUACACUUAAAGGUUGAUUAGUGUUAAUUAAGUGUAAUUAGGUUGUUAGAUUAGAAUUGAUUAGUGAUUAUUAGUUAAUUGCUUUGCAUAUUAGUUGUGUGAUUAGUGUAAUUAGAUAGAGAAUUACCUGUAGUAUUUAUUGGAUGCUUCUUGGGAUUUUUCCCGUCCCUUAUCGGGUGUUAAUUAAGCGAUUCGGGCCUAAUUGGAAUUUUUAGGAAUUAAAUAUUAAUUUUCGAAAUUAAUUAUUUAAUUAUUUAAUUCCCGGAAAUUUAACUGGGAUGGCCAGUGGCCGGGAUUUUAUGCUGAUGAUCGUGGUGCAGUCCGUUUAUUUAAUUGAGCUUUAUAUUGUGCUAAAUUGAAUUUAUUUUAUAUAUUUAUUUAUUUUUCGAAAUUAAUUAUUUAAUUAUUUAUUUUCCGGAAAUUUAACUGGGAUGGCCAGUGAUCGGAAUUUCGUGCUGAUUGUCGUGAAGCAGUCCGUUUAUUUAUUUGAGCUUUAAUUCGUGUCGAAUUGAUUUAAUGGUGCAUUUUUAAGUAUGUUAUUAAAUAAUGCAAUUUUGGCCUUGUGAUUGAGAAUAGGUCAGGUAUCAGUUGUUAGUAUCGAAAGUGAAUUGGUAAAUCACCUUGAGGAUGCACGUGGCCCAGUGAAUUGGAAUGUUACUCGGGAAAGACACGUGACUCGGUGAUUAGAUAUGUCAUCUUGGCGAAAAGGUAGCCUUAGAGAAUGCACGUGGCUCGGAGACUCGGUAUGUCUUCCUGGAGAAUGCACGUGGCACGGUGACAUAGUAUGGCAUUGUGAAAAGGUCGGGUGGGACCAUAAAGCCACUAAAUCUUGGAAAGGUCGGGUGGGACCGUAAAGCCACUAGAUCAUGAGAGGAUUGGGUGGGACCAUAAAGCCACUAAAUCUUGAAAAGGGUCGGGUGGGACCGUAAAGCCACUAGAUCUUGAGAGGGUCGGGUGGGACCGUAAAGCCACUAAAUCUAAGGAAUUGCUUGGUGUGGGAUGAAUGACGUAGAAAUGAUUCGUUUUGCUUGUAAUCGACUAGGUCAAUUGAUCGAUGAUUCGAUCUGAGUGUGACUUGAUGUGAUUCAUUGCCUUGGUUUGAUGUUGUGAAUUGAAUGAUUGAAUGGAGAUGAUCGUGAGUGGUCUUCCUGAUAUGAAAUCGACUAAGUCGAUUAGAUCGAUGCUUCGAUCUGUGAUGUGAUUGCUUGGGNNNNNNNNNNNNNNNNNNNNNNNNNNNNNNNNNNNNNNNNNNNNNNNNNNNNNNNNNNNNNNNNNNNNNNNNNNNNNNNNNNNNNNNNNNNNNNNNNNNNNNNNNNNNNNNNNNNNNNNNNNNNNNNNNNNNNNNNNNNNNNNNNNNNNNNNNNNNNNNNNNNNNNNNNNNNNNNNNNNNNNNNNNNNNNNNNNNNNNNNNNNNNNNNNNNNNNNNNNNNNNNNNNNNNNNNNNNNNNNNNGGAGGAGGACCUCGAGGAUAACCCCGAGUAUGACCCGGAUGAGGACUGAGAUCCUGUCCUAUCUCAUCAGACCUUGUUUAUAUGUGAUUAGGCGUUAGACCAGAGUUGUGUAUAUAUAGUAUUGUAGAAUACUAUGAGAUGCAUGUAAAAAGAUGUAGUUGUGAAUUUUUAGUAAGGAAAAUAUAUGGCCUGCUUUUCUAUCCCAUUGCUUUAUUGUCUGGGGAAUUAUAACUGCUUCCGCAUGUGCAUAUAUAAAUGAAAGGGUCGGCGAUACAUAGUCCUGGGAUAUCGCAUUUUUAAAUCGACCAAAAGUAAGGGAUGUGUGCGUGCCUGAGGGUCGGGGCGUGACAGCCUCCCAUUGGACGUGGAGGUAGAGUGUUCGGAGAUUGAUUGCAUUACCAUCCCUGGUCUGACGUUUGUGCGAGUUCGCAUGCUGGUCAUGUACGAUGUGGGCUUGGCUAGGGGCCCGGUCAUUCAGGAGUUUUUAUCAGUCCACGUCCACCGAGAUGGAGAGAUUCGGGGGAUGUUGCCAUCACCACCGCUCGAUGCCCAGGAUGGGUGUGAUGGCCACGUGAGGGGUAGUGAGCUGACAUUUUUUUUAGAGUAGCCGACAUUGAUAGAUGGAGGAUGACACGUGAUCGUUAUAGGGGUCGAUUAUCUUUUGGGUUGUGGCUAAGUGUAGUUAAAAGUCUUGGCUUUCUUUUUGGUUGUACCGACCCGAGAAAAUCCAUCAUGAAAAUAUAUAAAUAAAAAGUGGUUCGGCCUUAUCUUUUCAUAUGAUGUGUAGUUGAUGUGCAUUGCAUUAUGUUAUUGGAGGGAGAGAUGGUGAGACUCAAUUAUGCUUCCGCUAAUAAGUUGCGCUAGAACCGUUUAAAAAAAAAAAAAACAAUGUGCCUAAGAACCUCAAUCCUUCUUUAAACCCCUUUUUAUAAAAGACAAAUAACGAAUAUCUUUCGAGAGAGAAAGCGAUAGGCAGGCUGUGGCGACCCUAACGGAUUGGGGGCAUUGAGGGGUGCCACAUAUAAUAGAAAUCUCCAAGACUUGACAACAAGAGACCCACUAAAUUACAGCACUAAUAAGUCACUUGAUCCAAAAACACUCUUGCCGACGUGUAUUCCACAGUAGACCUCAAGCAGGCCCAUGUUUUUCCCCGAAUUCAAAUUUAAAUUGGUUUUUACUAAACAUACGUAGUCAAGGUGAAAACAACAUAAAAUAGAUGGACCCAACAUUAAUUCAAAACUAGCACACCGCACACAGAAAGUGAAUAAUCAAGCCCAAGAGGUUCUCAAUCAAAACAUUUACAUGACAAGCUCUGUGUAAUGCAAUAAAUCGAACUAAACCUAACCAAAAUCACUCGUUGUCAGUCUUAUCCAUUGCAAUAACAGAGCGAUACAUAAUUCAUUCACCGGAUUGAAAAUGGAGAAAUCAAAGUCAUACUCUCAUCCAAGAGUACACAUUCUGCUACCAUGAUUCGACUUGAAAGAUCCCUUUAAGAGUAUUUGGCAGGAGCACCGGCUUGACGGAUUCUCUUUUGGUGAACAUCCCAAUUAUACACACGAGCCAUCAUAACCUGCCAAAUAAAGAUUGAACUCUCAAGGGCCGUUUCACCCCCAAAAAGAAAAGAAAAUUUCCAGGGGCCACCAACAUAAUUGCCAUGAUAUAAACGAAAGAGUUUGGUCCUCCAACAAGUUUCGAAUUUUUUCAAUUUCACUUAAGUGCAAUAUGACCACACUCCAGGUUGUCACAAAUCAGCAUGUCUUUGCAAUUUAUAGCCUCAAGGCUCACACCAGUACAAAAAUCACGGCAGCAGUAAUUCAACACAACAAACCUACCCCAAAACUGACAUAAUAAAUGGCUUGAAACUAAAAUGGACCUCCAAGUUCCAAAAUAUUCUGACUUACGUGCGUGAUUGUUACUUGGUCCAGUAAGAACUGUAGAUUAGCAACAAGAACUUCUAAACUUGCUUUAGCGUUUUCUAGGUUCUUUUGUAGAAGAGUUGUGGCCUGCAACACGAAUGGAUACAAUAAAUAAGAUACUCGACAUCAUCAUUGGAGAUAAAGGCACAUUGCUUCAACUCGAGUACCUCUUCGCAUGAAUACUCCAACAUAACAUUUGCUCCCACCAUAAACAUCCUGAAUCAGCAUGUUCAAUGCGAGCUCGAGAACAUAUGCCUUCAGAGACUUUAAAAUCAGCAAGAUGUGCCUGCAUCCACGAUAAAGAGCCGUAAAUACCAGUCAGUUCGGCACCAAUUAUUAUAUUUUGCGUCUUAGAAGUUUUGAUGGUCUUAGAUUUUAAAGCCCAAUAUAGUAAUCCCACCAUAUUUUGCUUUCUAAUAGGACCUUUAGACAUGAAAGCAUAAUAUUACCGUCGUUAUUCAAGUGUCCAAAUCUAAAACCACCGCACAAUUAUUGAGAUUAACAUGGGUUCUUCAAAGCACUAAUUGAGAUUCUUAGGAACAUUGCUUCCAGAAGUGCAUUUGUGAAGGAAAAAAGACAAUCAAAUAUUCCAUAUUUAGUCAAGUGCACCAAAAGUAGUUCCUAGUAUGGCAAGAAUAAGACUACCGUAUCCUCUUCCUGCUUUGUUAAGAUAAAAAAGGAUGAUCAGCUAAGAUAUCAUCGAGGAGCAAGAAGAUAUUUGAACAUGCAAAUUUUCUAGCAUAAGAUAUGAGAAUAUUUUAGUUCACAUUACAUAUGCCAAGGAUUCCAGAUUAAAAAGUGAAACUGUCAAGUGAAAAAUUGGUGGUUUAAUGACAGAAUGAAGAACUUCAGGCGAUAAAAUGAGAAAUGACUCUAUAUUGGAUAAAUAUGAUCUGUUUAUGAGUAACAAGUUUACUUCGUAAAAAGCCUCAACAGUCAAUAGCAUGAGUUCGAUAGAUAUCCAAUAAGUAUACUCAGUUACAAUACAUGCACCGAGAAGCAUUUAGCUUGAAUUUCAAUCUUAAAUUCCAGUUCUAAGGCUACAGUUCAAUCUUUCAGUAAUAUGGACACAUGCUCGUUGCCCACAUAUAAUGGCAUGCUCGAUAAGAGGUCACUUUGCUAUAGCACAUCUAAACAUUCCUCUUGGGUCAAAAACAAUUUGGGAUCCAACAAUUGAGCUACCCAAGUACAAACUUGCAGGUUGGAAAGGUGAAUGCCAAAAAAUGGGAGCUUUCCAAUCAGCCAGUUUACUUCAAUCAUAAUGCAGGUUCCUAGUUCAGUAUCAAAUAAUCUAGAGCCUAAAAAAGAGGAUAUCUCUAUGGUCGAAUGGAGUGGUGAGGUUAAGUAAUUGUUGCAUCAAGGUGCCCCAAUUUGAAAUGAUUGAUCAAUUCAAAUCCUAGAUUUUUGCAUUGAGAGAGAUAGCACACCUUAUUUAUGCAACAUUGCCAAGGGGGGUUUAAAGGUUGUAGCCUAUUUGAGGGAGAAAACCUCAGUGUAGAGACAGAUCGAGGUAGGAGAGAUGAAGGGAGGACAUAGUACUACUUGCACGCUCUGUGUUUUGGCAGAGAGGCUGAGAUGCCUGGCUACCUCGUAGUUGGUUUUAUGAAGGACUAGUGCAAGAUAAUUCUAGCAGAUUCUUGUUCACUAUAGAGAUAUGCAAAUGACAGCACACGAGCAGGAAACUUUGUUGAUGGCAGAAAGUAUUGGGAUGUACAAUUCACCACUUGCGCAGAGACUAGUGAACAGACGAGAACAAGACUGUCAAACUACAGUUCUUGCAUGCUAGUUAGUUGGUAUGAAAGAGACGGGGAAGGACUCUAUCUAAAGAAGGCAAGGGAUAUUAGCCGCUUAUAAGAUGAAAACCACAUGGAACCAUAUGGCACCACUAGCGAUUGCCUUGGGAGUGAUUUAAAAUAGCCAAUAUACAAAAAGAAAAAAGAAGGAUGCAGACAAAUCAAUACUAGAUAUAGCAAAGUCAAUGAGAAUCCUCAGGUCACCCACUUAUUAUGUUGUUGUUGGACUAAAUCUCCUCAGGACAUGGAUCUGUCAAAGAGCCGCAAAUAAGAUGGUGACCAUGGAAUUGAACAAUACCCAAUCCAAAUCUUGACUAGUUUACACAGUCAGAAGAAAGAGUUGUGCGAGACAACAAACCUUAUCAGAACUCUUCUUGGCCUGCAGAGUAGCGACUAUGUCUAACCACUUCUCAAAAUCAGUUAUUUUUGCUUGGCAUUUGAUAUAGACAUGGAGUUGAUAACAAAUUUAGAUGUGAGAUUGCACAAUGGAAUUCAAUCAACAUCGCUGUAGUUGAAAAGAAGCCUCUUACAGCUUGCUCAGAAGUUCCAAUGUACUUAUCCAACAGUUCAGCCCUUUCACUGAUAUGGAUUGAAGAGAACAAGCUGCUAUUGCUGCACUAACAAUGCAUGUCUUGCCAAAGGCCGUACGUCCAUGUAAAAGAACAUUUGACCAUGGCCUUUGAGGAGCUUGCACAAAAACACUUCAUCAGCAAAGGUAAGAAUGAUAGAUAUGAAGAUCAAAUAAUUUUAUUUAACAAGUUAAUAUUAACCACAUUAUUAGCACAGAGAGAGAGAGAGAGAGAGAGACAGAGAGAUAGAGAGACAGAGACAGAGACAGAGACAGAGACAAAGAGACAGAGAGAUAGAGAGAGAUCAGACACAAUCAAUGCAGUUAUACAAGCUUCCUUGAAUAAAAUGCAUGCAUAAUUUAGCUCACUUACAAGAAUGCAUCAGGGAAACAAUGUUAGGUAGUUAAACCCCAAAAUCUCAAGCAAUCCCAUUAUCUCAUUGAAAUUUUGCAGAGUCUAACCACAAGCUCCCUUCACUACAUUGUCGAUCAGCAAAAAGAGGAUUAGACAACUCACCACCAUAUAAUGACUUUGAUGUUACAUGAAAAGUAAGGCACCCAAUGGGAAACAGACACUUAGGAACCUAUGACAGAGAUUAGUAUUGCUCGUCUAGAUACUCAAUCGGGGAAGACACUCAUAAAACAAUAAUAGGAUCCUCGCACGUGUUGAGUACAAGGAGCUACUCCUUUUUCCAACAAAAUAAUGAAUUCCUCAUCCACCAAGAAAAAGUGAAUUAAGCGAUCAAACAAUGUGAAGUAUGUGGGAAGCACACUCGAGAAUAUGAAAGGAAGUCGCAGAUCUUUCAAGUUUUAGUCCCCCAACAUGUCCACUACCUGAUUGAUUUCCCAAGGUCUAUGAAACAAAUUAUCAACUUUNNNNNNNNNNNNNNNNNNNNNNNNNNNNNNNNNNNNNNNNNNNNNNNNNNNNNNNNNNNNNNNNNNNNNNNNNNNNNNNNNNNNNNNNNNNNNNNNNNNNNNNNNNNNNNNNNNNNNNNNNNNNNNNNNNNNNNNNNNNNNNNNNNNNNNNNNNNNNNNNNNNNNNNNNNNNNNNNNNNNNNNNNNNNNNNNNNNNNNNNGCAUUCCAAGACUCUGCAUAAAUAGAUGAAAAAAAAACUAAUAAUUAUGGCCAGAGAAGCAAAACUUCUACUUUAAGAAUGGGAGUAUUUGAAAAUUGCAACUAUAACCAUCAGCAUCGGAUGUAGAGUAAAGCUGACAGUGAUCUUUGAUUGUGCAAAAUGAUAAUCCCAAUUCAAUCUCUAGAAUUGCAGGAAACAAAAUUCAUGUAAAAGGGAGCAACUGAGGUUAUUGCAUUUGCCUUAUUUAAUUCGUGAAUGAGUUAAGAGUCAUCAAAUUCCCAGACCCAGCUCAAAACAACAAAGGAUUCCAAAAAAAAAAAAAAAAAGACAUGUCAUUUGCACAACAAAUGAUAGUUCAAGAACGUAAAUGCCUUAUCAGGUGAAUUGCAACAUCUUCCCCAACUAUGUUUGGUAAUUUAAGAUGGGAGAGAAUGAACAAAUAGCAAACAAACAAACAAACAAAAUGAAGUUCAGAAGUAACUAGAAAAGCACCUUCAAUUCUUCAUGAAGGAAGUAACUAAGUCACUCAUAUAGCAUAAAAGGUAUCGGCAAUUCACUCUUUCCCUGACCAAGCAUUAAUUCCUUUAAUUCAUUCCUCACAAAUCAUGAUUAUUCUGUAGUGAAAUUGAAAAAACACUACAUAAGGUAUGACCAGUACUCUCAAUAACCUCUGCCUUUCAACAAAACAUAGCAUUUGUUAGCAUCUUCAGUGUGAUUGCUAUUUAGCCAAGUUAUGUGCUACGAAGCAUGUCAACCCCAACAUUAUGCUGAUGCGCAACAUAAACCAAACUAAGUAUCACCACCAUGGAGGCAAGUGAAAGUACUGCAUGUUCAUGACAUGCAAACAAGGAAUUUUGCUCAAAGAUAACAGGAUGAAUGAAUACAAGCAGUGGUUCCAAAACUAAGAUGAAAGAUUAGCUAAAAGAAAACUCACAAACUGGAUGCAGCAAAAAAUGAACUUUAGUUCUAUGGACUUACCAUCAUCGAUUAUCUUUGCCAAUCAAAUGAUACAUACCUUAUCCAUCUCUAUUGAGCUUUGGGCAGUCAAUGAGGAUGAGUUGACAAGAUUUUGGCACACUCAAAACUGAAAUGAUCGACAUCCAUUGAUGUUGUUCAAGAGGCUCAAGACCAGUUUACUACACUUCUUGUAAGCUACUUUAGCAACUGAAAAGUAAUUCAAGUAAUCAUGCCGUUAAUUACCUUCUUUGAUAUAUAUGUAGUUUAUCCAAUACUGUGUAUCCGAAGUUAAACAACUCUAAAUCAAGGAAAAGUCAUGUCUAGCAUUUAAUAGUCCGCUUUGAAGGUUAUUACGUAGUCUCCAUAUUAAAUGCUUCAUAUAAGUGCAAUUUCCAAUAGCAAUUUACAGUUAGUGUGCUAUGGAAAGAGAGUACUUUUUGUUACCAUGUAAGACGAAAUUAUUACCUUGUUCCAGCCAACACAAACACACCGCUUAAAACUUCAACACCAUCUGAUUCGGUAAAAAACUGCACCAAUGAAUAACAUGUCAUUUUUUAGUCAUACCAUCAACUAUAUUUCACAUGAUCACUUUAUAAGUGCCAUUGAAUGCAAGAAACUAACUGAUUGAUGACAUGGUUGGUGACCCCUGUACUAUCAUGCCCCCUCUUCAGCACAAUGGAAUCAAAUUCAUGAAAAAAGAGAAGGCAAGGUGCUAUAGCCACUGCCUUCAAGAAUAUAUCCAAACCUGUAAUUUUAAAAUUGCCAUUACUCUCAAAUAUUCAAAAUUUCUCUAGUUUGCUCACAAAAUCAAUGCCGUCAAUGUGCAUAAUAGAUAAUCCAGUAGACAUUUGAUCACAAAUUUCAAAUUUCUAGUAGAGAAAAACUUCAAAUAUCUUACAUCUUAAUCUUUCUCUUAAUCUUCAUAGAAGAUUCUCUCAUUCAUGCAUGAGAAAACUCAAGAACCAUUUUAACUUGGCCUCUUGAUUGGUUAUAGGAGAAUCUUCAUUGGUUAACUUGGCCUCUACAUUAACUGCAGUGGUAGGAUCCUCAUUGCUGCUGCUAGUUAUCAUAUAUCGACUACUGGCAUAGAUGAAGGGACCUCUAUUAAAUGCAUACAAAAGCAAAAGAAGAAAGCACAAAAUUGUGAAAUGUAUGCAAAUAACAAAGUUCAAUAAAAAAAAUUACAUACUGGAACUCAAUAAACAUUCAUGUAGUUCAAAAGAAGCCUCUUAUAGCUAGCUAAAAUGUACCAAUGUACUUAGCGACAACUCUGCCUUUUACUGAUAUGGAUUGAAGAGAACAAGUCGUUGUUAUAGCACCAACAGUAUGUCUUGCCAAAGCCUAGACAUCCAUGUAAAAGAACAUUUCACCAUGGUCUUGGAGGAGCUUGUGCAAAAACAUUUUAUCAAUAAAUGUAAAAAUGAUAGACACAAAAAUCAAACAGGUUUAUUUAACAACUUAACAGUAACCUUAGCACAGAAAGAGGGAGAGAGAGAUGAGGAAAGGUGCAAUAAGUCAGCUGAAAAAAUAAACAAAACCUAGUCUUCAACAACACAAAGGUGCUCUUUCCUAACACCAGAAAUUGCAGAAUGCACAACUCGAUGCAGCUAAACCCAGUCUUCAACGAAAUGGUGGUUUGACCAUAUCGACAAGUUUACUCCAAUAUCAAUUGUCUCCCAGCACGAAUUUCACACAUAAAUGGCUAAUUACUAGAAUGAAGAAAGAUAGUUCACAAAUCACACCAUGACUCAAGACUUGAAGCUUCUCCACCUUAGUUCAAAAGUAACUAGAGAAACACCUCCAAUUCUUCAUGAAGGGAAAUAACUAAAUCACUCAUAUUGCAUAAUAGGUAUCAACGAUUCACUCUUCCACUAACCAAGCAUUAAUUCCUUUAUUUCAGUCCUCACAAAUCAUGAUUGUUCUCUGCUAGUAUUAGAAACACUCCAUAAGGUGAGAUUAGUACUCUCAAGUCUCAACCACCUCAGCCUUACAACAAAACCUAGCAUUUUUCAGAAUCUUUAGUGUGCUUACUAUCUAAAAGUUCCCUUCCACUUUAUCCAUUUUUUGUAAGCAAAAUAGGUGCCGCGAAGCAUGUCAAUCCCGACUUUAUGCUGGUGUGCAACAUAAACCAACUAAGUAUCAACAUUGUCAAGUCGAGGUAAGUCAAAGCAUCACACGUUCAUUAUACACGAAAGAGGAUUUUCCCUUAGAGACAACAAGGUGAACAAAUGCAAGAGGUGGUUCUAGAACCAAGAUGAAAGGUUAGCUGAAGGAAAACUCACAAAAUAGGACACAACAAAAAAUAAAAUCUAGUUCUAUGGACUUACCAUCAUCGACAAUCUUUGCCAAUCAAAUGAUACGUAUCUUAUCCAUCUCUAUUGAACCUCGGGCAAGCACCAACCAUGAGUUGACAAGAUUUUGGCACACCCAACACACUCUCCAAUGAUUCACAUCCAUAGAACAUCAAACUUUUCAGAUUCUGUAGAUUAUAACGAUCAGAUUCGCUUAAGCUUUUGACAGAAUUGCAGCCUGAGAUAAACAAAGCCCGCAAUGAUUUCAAUUCUCCUAAACCCUGAAUCUCAGUUAGCAGAGGCAAUUGGCGCAGGGACAAACUCUGGAUCUUCUUCAGGCUAGUUAGAAUGGAUAACGUCUUCAACAAUGGACAGUCUUCCAUCAACAAUUCAUUGAAUUUCCGUAGCUCUCCAAGCACCUCGAAUCAAAUCUCUCCUAGUGAAUAUCCAUAAACAAACAGCUUCGACAAAUUCUCCAAGUUGGAAAAGACUGACCAAUCUAUUGGUGAUUGCACAUUGUAUAAAUUUAACACUUGAAGGCUAGAUGGGAGUCCGAUAAGAGAUUGGGGCUCAGCACAACUUAUGGAGAGACUUCGUAAAUGAGAGAGGGAACUAAAAUCGGGCAAGGCCAUUUUUCCGAUGCACAAAGUCAAAUGCCACAGAGUAGGUAGUCUCACAAUGCCCUCUAUGUUAGGUUCUUGGAUUGAUGUUCCGAUUAUCUCAAGGUCAACUAAAUUGGUUAGGUUUGAGCAGUCAGGGAUCGUGGUCAACGAAUUUGCUGAAAAGGCUAAACACGUGAGACUCUUGGGAAGCUCCGGCAGCUGUUGGAUUGAAUUACAGCCCUCUAAAUUAAGUUCUUGCAGAUUUGUAAGCUGAUUGAUGGUUGUCGGCAAUCCACUAAAGCAGCCAUAGGAUAAUUCUAGAAUUUUCAAUGAGGAUAGUGCCCCAAUUUCACUUGGAAUUUCCCCCAUUAGAUGUACAAAUUGAGCAUGUAACUCUUCUAGAUUUUCCAACAUUCCUAUGGUUUUCGAAAGUUCACUUAUGUGGCUAGAAUUCAAAUCUAGUAUCUUCAACUUUUUGAGAUUUCCAAUGCAAUCAGGUAAGCUCCUAAUUCUUGAAAAGCUCAAAUCCAACUUGACCAAUGAUUGGAGCCUCCCAAUUGAGUAUGGUAGCUUUUCUAGCUCGCAAACUGAGAUGCGUAAAACUCUUAACCUUUCUAAAUUUCCAAUAGUAUAAGGUAAUUCCCGGAUUUUUGAACAUUUGACACUUAGCUUAAGUAGUGACUCCAAUUUUCCAAUAGAGUCGGGAAGCUUUUGAAGUUCCUGACAAUUCAAGAUUAGAUGCUUCAGCUUCACUAAAUUGCCAAUUGAGUGAGGCAAAACUGAGAUUAUUUUAGCUUCUAUUCUUAGCUUUGUCAAAGAUUUUAGACGGCGAAUGGACUUUGGUAGUGACUUAAUAGCUUCAGACAUUAUUUUUAGGUAAUCAAGAUGCUGCAAAUUGCCGAUGGACUUGUCAAUCUUUCUUAGUUGAGAGCAUAUAAGAAUCAAUCUCUCCAAUUGCGAGAUUGCGUAGAACUUGCACGUCUUUCUAAGGGAUGGACAAUCCUCGAGUUGUAGGACUUUCAAUUGUUUUGCUACCUAUAAAGCAAUUGAGUUGAAUCUUAGAAAAGAAGAAGAGUAAAUGUAAUACAAAAGUAUGUCAUGAGAUCAUACCAUGAUUUGACACCAUCCUUCCCAGUCUUCGUUAAUGUUAUUCCCCGAAAGCAUGACAACCACUAGGUUCUUCAACCCAAAGUUGGUUGCUUGGAAUUCUAAAGGGCAGUUGCUCCAAGAGAGCCAUCUUAACUCUGAGAAAAGAUCUUUAAAGUCUCCUUUAAAGUUUCCAUGGUCCAAUUGAAGGAACCUAAGGUUAACCAACCUCUUAAAUUCUUUACGUUUAAAUUUGUAUGCUGCGUCAGGUUUAGGUGUGCCAAGAUUGAGGCCUACUAUGUUCUCAGUUCCCUAGAAGAUAAAAGUAGCAACUAAUGAGUACAUGUGUCAAUAUGACUAAUGAUCCUAAUGGAAGGAUAAGGAAAAUAUUUAAAGGUAAAAAUUACCAUUUUUCUAUGCACUACAUGGAAGGCAUCCCUAGGUGACCACAAUCUGCUACUCCUUAGAUGUAUGUUGCAGCUUUCCGAGUGGACGAUAUCCCUUCCGAGGUCUCUAAGUUGAUCGUGCAUCCAUAAAAUAUCGUUGUCCAUGAUCUGUAUUAGAGACAUAUAUGUGAGGGUCUUGACUUUGAUUUCAGUAGGAUACCCAAAGACCGCGUCCCAAUAUUUCAUUGCAAUUGUUUUAUUUUUGUCAAUGAAGAAACAUGCAAUAUCAAGAUAAAUAUGUUGUUGCUUAGCAUCCAAUGCUUCGUAGCUUAUCAUCAACUUCUUCUUCACAUCCUCAUUCAUCACAGUAUUUAACUUAUGUAGGAUGUCUUCCCAUGUCUUUUGGGAUUUUCCGCAAAGUGUGGAACCUACAACAUCGAGAGCCAAUGGAAGUCCUCCAAGUGUAUUGAUUAGCUUAUUUGCAAUAUCCACGUAAUUAUAUGGAGGCUUGGCACAUCCCAAGGCACGCUUACAAAAAAGUUGAAGAGCAUCAUGUGAAUUCAUCUCCGACAUAUUGUAGAAUGAAAAUUGUCCGUUAUUAGAGGCUGGGACAUUGUCAUCCUCACCUUCGUUUACAAGGAAUUCAAUAUUCCUAGUUGUUAUGAUGAUUCUACUGCCCCCACCAAACCAGUUGGGCUCGCCGGCAAGUCUCAUGAUUUGGUCUCGACUGUCAAUGUCAUCAAGAAUAAUGAGAACUUUCUUGUCAUGAAAUCUCGUCUUGAUCAUGUCAACCCCUUCAUCAAUGAAGCAUAGGUCUAUGCAACUCAAAUGGAGAAUGUCGGACAACAAUUUCUUUUGUAAGUUUAUUAUAUCAUGAGUCUGAACAUCCUUAAGAAAGCAGCAAUAUCUCUGAAAUUGAGAGGAGAUUUGUCUGAAGACAGUCUUAGCCAGUGUCGUCUUUCCGAUGCCACCCAUACCAUGAAUCACGAUAAACCUUACAUCAAAAGCUUCUAGAUCUAAUUGCUUCAUAAUCUCAUCCGUUCGAUCCUUAAUUCCCACCAAAUGAUCAGGCAAAAUAUUGUCCAAAAUCAGUGUUAAAUUUAUUGUGUGAAUAUCAAUUCAAUUAUAAACUUUUCAAUUUUAAUAAUAUUGUCCAAAACUUUUACACAAAAUUUCAAUGUAGCCCUUGCAGUCAAUAUCCACCGAAAAUUGCUAAAGUGGCAAUCUAUGCAGGAUGUCAUUUCAAGUAAAAUUGUCCACGUCAACUUGCCACAUAGGACAACAGUGAUGAAUGGACGUCAUGUUAGUAAUUUCUUGUGGCAAUUGAGCAAAAAGAUUACAUUAAAAUUUCACGCAAAUACUUAUGACCACAUUAACAAAAUUAAAAUGUCUUGUGCUCAAAUGUCAUGCACAAUAAAUUUAGAACUAAUUUGAUAAUUAUGCCUCCACUUCAUUUUAUACUUUUUCACACCGGUUGGUUUCUUCUUGUCGCACACAGCUAAGAGCGAGACCUCUAGAAAUUUGGUUAAAUAUCAAGUCCUCGGUAAACUCGGUCUUGAUAAUCUCUUCAAGCGAUAGGGAUGAGUUUGAAGGUUAAUGGAAAAUAAAAAAUCUCACUCGCAAUUGCCUUGAAUAUAGGAAACAAGAAUAAUCUCUCAAAAGCAUUUUUCUUAACGUACCCAUGGAAUAGAAUACUAACCGAAAAUGAGGAAGAUUUUCUGGAAUCUAUAUCAACCUUGAUUCGAGUUGCCAACAAACAUUUCUCCAAAUAAGUUAGAAAUAAUUUUAGGUUACCCAUUCUUUUUAUAAUAUUGGUAACUGCAAACUAGUUGGAACUUUAAUCGGAAUAAAUUGGUGAGUAACUCAACUUAGGAUUGGUAAUUUAACAAUAGAUUUCGUUGCCUAAUAAUGUUCGUAACCUGUGCAAAUAAAAGUUGGUGCGUUAUUAACGAAAGCUUAUGAAGGUUGGUUGUUUUGAAACAAAUAAUAAAUAUUGAUAAGUAGCUCAAAUAAGAAUGUGUAGCUUAAACUAGUUAUUAACUUAAUUAGAAAUUAGUUAAUUUAGAGUUAGUAAUUCGGUACAGGAUUUGGUAAUUUUGAGAUGUGGAGUAAACAAUAUGGUAAGUUGUGCAGAAGUUGUAAAUCGGCAAACAAUCUAAUAAACUUAGUAAAUGAUUUACAUAAAAGCCGGUAAGCUAAAACUAGUUUGUAAAACAAUGGAAAAAAAAAGUUGGUAAGACACAAAUUAAAGUCGAUAAAUUCAUAUGAAAACCGAUAAUUUAAAAAUUAGGGAUGGGCAUGGAGCAUGGGAAAUCUGCGCCCCGCGGUGGCCUGCCUUGGAUGUGGCAAAUUUUUUGAGGAAAUUUUUUCUCAAACAAUUGCCUCCCUGGGAAUGUUGCACGAAACAAGUUGGGCAUGGAUAGUAAUAGGCUAGCCCUUCCCGUUCUCGAGGGUUGAAACUAUUAAUGCGUUUAACGAAAGAUAGAAACAGUAAGGUUUAAUGAAGAAGGAUGUGAGUAAGCAGAGAGUAACGGCUAGGGUUUAUAGUAAAACUAUCACAAACCAGGAUAAGGGUAGCUACAUAUCUCAAGGUAAUUUACAAUUGUUAAAGUACUUAUCCAUUUUCUAGAGGCUUUUAAAUUUCUCCAACCAUAGCUACAACUACUUGGAAGUCCCUUAGGUGAAUUUUUGGUUAAUCAAGAUAUGGGGCCAUGAAUAGGUCCAUGCUUAAAGCAACAGCAAGAACCAAUUUUUAUGUUUUAACAUUCUACUAUAAAUCACUAUAGAAUAAUAUUCAGUUUAAGGUUGCACAUCUUGUCUACGCACAAUUGGCCACUAGAGGAGCCUUUGACCCUUGCCCCACCACAGUGAAAACAAAAGCCCAAGAUUGAUAAUACACCUGGACCUAAGUCAGUCCGUCGCAAACUAAUCAAGAAUUACUCUAAUAAAAAUAUACUGGAAGACCUCUAACAGUUACAGAGAUCCUUUUUUUUUUUUUUUUUGGUUCUUUUGCGUAAUGGCACAAAGAUCUUUGCAAUGUUCGGUCUUGUAUACUCAAACCAAAUAGAAAAACCAUAACCUAUAGUUUCCUCUUAUGGGGUUAAAAAACUAUCAUCAUAAAAAUCUCCGUUAUUUUUGUGUAACUCGGUGGUGCCACCGUAAUUAGCCGGUUAUUUCAAGGGAAACAUCAGCAAAGCAUAUGAAUUCUCUAGGGCUGAAACCAAAACCACAAGGAUCGGUUUCUUACUCUUGGCCGUAAGUUUUUGGAUAUCGCAUAGACUGCGAUAGACUAAGUCUAUGCCAUAAUUUCUCUAUGUUUCCUUAAUGUAACAAAAACAGAAAGAUCUAACAUCAAACUCAAUCUAAUUUUUCAGGAAAACAUUAUAGGCAUAGGGUUAAGGAAAAUUACACCAAAAGUCCUUAAUUUCAUGUACGGAAUGCAAUUGAAGUUAAUAAACUUAAUUUUUUUAUUUUUCACAUAUAUAUGGUCUUACUAUUUUAACAUAUCUUAGAUCUUAAUGGAUAUCUUGGUUUUUUGGCAUUAUAGAUUAAUUAAUUAAUUAAGUUGCUAUACCUUAACUUUAAUUGUUAUAAAAACUUGAUAUUAAAAGGGAAAAGUCAAUUUGUGCAAGAAACCUCGCCCUCUGAGCAAUAUUUUUGGCUCCUCAUAGCGUCAAAUCCAACCAUACGUUACAUAAGGUUGGACAGCAGCAAACCGAAUAGUUAUUUUUUAAAGGAACGAGAAAUUGAAAAUCUCAACAAAGAAAAUAAAGUCAAUGGAGAAGCAAAUAAUACCCGUGAUCUUUUAGCUUCCUUCCUCUAAUUCUAGCAACCUUUCUUAAAGUCUUCUUCCACUUCUUUACUAAAUCCUUCCCGUAGUCGCUCUUGUGCUUCCGAAGGGCUUUCCGAUAUAACUUAGUCUUAAGCUUGACAUCAUCCACGUCCACAUCAUAAAAUACAGGGAGGAUCACUUUCUCAGCAUUAGCUCUCUUUAGCUCCACUAUGCGUGCCAGUUCACGAAGGCACCACUUACUUGAGGCGUAGUCCUUGGAGAAAAUCAGGAUGUAAAUUCUGGAGUCAUUGAUCGCUUGCAAGAGGCCACCUUCAAUCUCUUCCCCAAAUCGGAGCUCUUCAUUGUCUUUGAAAACGCGGAUCCCCGCACAGAUCAGGUCAUUGUAGAGACAAUCAGCCAUGGUUAAGCGGGUGUCGGGCCCUCUGAAACUUAAGAACACUUCGUAACCCCUCUCCGAUCCGCCAUCAUGGCUACUGCCCGUCCCAGUUACCGUCGCCCUCCCUUCUCCCUCCCUCUUUCUCUUCAUCCUAGUAGCAAGACGGAGUGAUGGAUCCCCGAAUUGAGUCUGCCCAGUGACUUGGGAAGUCUUGAGUUUGAUCCUUGUAACAACUUGAUGACGCAACGGAGAGAGAUCUCUCACUUUCGCUGCGUUCGCCUGGAAGUUACCUGCAGCCUUCCUCCACUCCCCACUCGUUGCUUGAAGGUGAAAGGUGAUGCACAGCUCUCUCUCUCUCUCUCUCUCUCUCUCUCUCCCUUCCGUGUUUCCUCGACGACAAGGGCUGACGGCACGGGAAGGGGAUACGACGUCGAUGGCGACAGCAACGGCGGCGCAGUGGCGAGGUGGCGAAGGCUUGCAGUGACCGAUUGGUGGAGGGGAGAGACUGAGGGAAGAACAGGGGAUUUUUCAGAGUCCGGAUAUUAUUUUAUGGAAAUUCGUCAAGAAGAGAGGGCAGUUUGGUCAUUUAGGAGGGGUAAUCGCACCAAGGGGGAAAAGAGACUGCCGGAGUCGCGCGUUUGAAGCGCUUUGCGAUAAGAAAGGAUUAAAACUAAAAGCGAAAAGCUUGGCUGACGGUCACUCUAAAUGGGGCAUUCUUGUAGGGUAUGCAACCCUUUGCUCUGAUAUUAAUCGUAGAGUGUGCAGCUUACAAAAUAUGCGGAAGUGUUAAAAUACUAAAAUCAAACUAAUUGAUACAUACACACACUCAAGCACACUAGCUGAUACAUGCAUACACUCAGCUUUCUAUUUUAUUCCCUUCUCGAUCACGGAGGGAUAACUCGCUCACACAGAGCUACUGAGGCUGCAGUGUCUCCUGAGGCUCACACCUUGAUUUCUAUCUGAAGAGACUCUCUCUCUCUUUCUUAAUCUCUCUUUAUCUCGUGUGGGCUUGCCUGCCUUUUGCACUCCCAAGCCCUAUUUAUAGACAUCUUCCCCCGCCAGUACUUCACCGCCUGGAUUCUACCGCCAUUGACUUCAACAUGCNNNNNNNNNNNNNNNNNNNNNNNNNNNNNNNNNNNNNNNNNNNNNNNNNNNNNNNNNNNNNNNNNNNNNNNNNNNNNNNNNNNNNNNNNNNNNNNNNNNNCACGGGAAAAAAAUAAAAAGAUAAUGAUAAAGAAUUUUAAAAUUUAUUGAAAAUUUAGAAAAAUAUCAAAAUAUUAUUAAAAAGAAUCUACGUUAGUGCCGAUCGUACCAAAUAGGACAAUCGGCGUCCAUGUCAGCGAAUUCCAACUAAAAUUGAUUAGAUGAAUUCAAUUGGUAAAAUAUGAAAAUAUUUAAGAAUCAAUUGAUAAAAUUAAAAUGUUUAAAACUAAAUUGGUAAAGGUGUAAUAGAUUUAUGACUAUUUGGAUAAUUUUCUUGAAAAUCCAUGAGAUUACAUUUCAGUCUUGAUGAUGGUGACGGUAAUUGUCUCAGCGUGAUGACCUUAUUUUGUGGUUCCGUCAAAACGCCAUUAAAAUGUAAUGCAACUUGUCUUAUAUUCUAAACCCUAUGAGCUAUGCGGCAGUGAUGACGUACUUGAGCGGCAUGCUUUGUAAGACAUUUAUUUUUUAAGAUACCAACGAAUAUGCUUGUGUCACGGCCCGAAAGAAAGCAUGUCCAAGAGGUUUUCGAUCGGCCCGUGAUAUUUGGCUAUCUUAUAGUGUACGAUUUUGACAUAAAUUAUAUCGCAGCAUCCAAUUCCUCUCUUCUUUAACUAUUUGACAAUGAUAUUAUAUUGGUUUGAUGAUAAUUUAUUUUUCAACAAAACCAACUUCAUUUUUUAAAAAAAUUCUUGGCAUUCAUGCGGCAAAUGUCAUUUAUUGAAUUUUUUAAUGUUGAUCUGAGAUAUGAUUAAACAGACUAUUUUUGCCAAAAUUGAGAACUUAAUCGAGGUGAUGACUACUCUAAUAGAUGGCUUUGAAUCUUUGAUACCAUUGAAAAAGGUGCAUUCGGUUGUCGAUAUUAUUUGAAAAAGUAUAUAUAGAAUCUGAUGGAAUAGAUAAGGAAAUGACAUUCUCUAAAGUGUGUUUUUUUUUUUUUUUUUAAGAUGAGAUUCUCUAUUGUGAAGGGGCAAUUUUACAUCUUAAAUUUUCUUCCUAGAGUAGUUGGCACCAUAUUUAACAUGUUAAUAAUGUCAUCAUGUCUUGAACAUGUUAUUAUGUCAUAUUCAAAGUGGGCACCGAGUUUGAGAUCUAACAUUAUGAAAUUGUAUAGAUGUAAAGCGGGAUAAGUACACUAAUGGUGCCAUAAGUUGUGUACGGCGCUCACUUUGAUGCCAAAAGUUUCCGUUGGAUCACUUAAGUGCCAAAUCGGAGAAAAAACGAUCACUUUGAUGCCACCAGCGAAAGAUUCUAGCCACUGGCGAAAGAUUCCAGCGAAAAUGAUUACGUGGCUUUUUUUUAAAAAAAUAAAAUCGAUAGGCCUUUAAAUGACGUCGUUUUCGGUCCUCCUUAAGAAAACGACGUCGUUUUGCCAUCCUACAUGGAUGGCUUCACGGAAAUGACGCCGUUUAGCUCACAUGGGGAUUGAAAUUAGGGUUUCCGCCGCUCAGCCACCGUCGCUCGGCCACUGUCACUCGGCCACCAUCGCUGCUCGGCCACCGUCGCUCAGCCACCAUUGUAGUUGCUCGACCAGGUGAGCGAGGAGAGACUGAGAUUGUUGCAGGAAAAAUCGAAGGCGAGGGCGGAGGAGGAGGAUGAAGAAGAUGGGUCGAAGGUGCUGCCGGUGCACUGCUGCUGCUGGUGCGUUGCUGGUGUCGCUGCUGGUGUGCUGCCGGUGCUGUUGCUGGUGCCAUGCUGGUGCCGUUGCUAGUGUGGGUCUUCGAGGAAGAAGAAGACACGAAGACGAGCCUUCCCUCUCUCUCAAUUUGGGGAUUAGGGUUUCAAAGUUGGGGGAAAGAUGCCAAACAAUGUCGUUUUGGUGUUUGGAUGCUGACUCAACUCUCCGACGAGCCACGUCAGCUUCAAAAAUUAAUAAAAAAAAAUGCCACGUCAGAUUUCCGGUCAAUUUCGUCAGCGUUGGCACCAAAGUGAGCGUUUUUCAAAAUUUUUGGCACUUAAGUGAUCCGACAGAACUUUUUGGCACCAAAGUGAGCGCCGUACACAACUUAUGCCACCAUUAGUGUACUUAUCCCGAUGUAAAGCGGACAUAUGUGAAAUACUUUAUAAAUAUCGAGGAUUAACUUCACUUAAAAAAUUGGCUUAUCAUACAUGCACUUCAAGUCGGGAAACAAGAAGGGAGAAGGAAGAGGCAAAGGAAUCCAUUGGCCUUGUAUGCAAUUUUUUCUACCACAGAUUUGCAUUUAAUUAAAUUAUGCAAUUCAAUCAUUUCGUAAAUCACGGGAUCCUAAUCUCGACCCUUAUCCUAGUGCCUCCUUAGAUAAAAUUCGGCAUGUUAAAUAAUAUGAACAUCCACAUAAUCUAAUAGCUAAGAUGAAGCAAGCUCAUACACACUGGAUGCAUAUAAGACUUUGUUCCUUCUACCCGCGCAAACUCCUAGGAUAAUUUCUAGAAGGCAAAGUGCGAGCACGCGCAGAGGAAGAUUUCUGAAAGUGAAAACGAAAGGCCACCAGUUUAUUAUUCUAUUUGCAUCGAUUAUAUUUGUUCCUAAGCCUAUUUUACUUCUAAAUGAAGAAAUAGUGACUCCUUAUAGCCAAUGGGAAUAAUAGGCCGGUUGUUAAGGCCACUAGGGAGCAUGCGUCGAGGAGCGCUAGAAGUCAACUACUGAGAAAUUAUAUGAUAAUAAUAUUGGAUGAUUUAAGCGGUCAAAGUAACAAAAGAGAUGAUUUUAUUUGGGGUGUUAGCUCCACACAAAGUUCAAUUGGACUCAAUUGCCAUUUGGUCUCCCGCCGUUCGCGGAAAUAAUUGUAAGCUUUUAUCGUAAAUAAAGUAUAAUUCGAAAGGUGGCAAUUAUUUACACAGGAGAUGAAAAAAUCCACAACCCUCACAUUAAUCUUGUGAUGCAAUUAUUUCAUCCAUUACAUAAGCGGUAAAAUGAGUCUACGCAAUUAUGCCAAAAUACACAUGUACAUUUUUCAACAAUUUAUUUUUAUACAUGAGUUCACAGGUUGUUAUAGGUUUGUUAUGUUUAAAAAGAAAAAGAAAGGCGAUUGACUUGAUUCAGUUAAAAAUGAUCUUAUCACAAUUAGCUACAUUUUAGGUGGCUAAACAUUCAACAAGGCAAAAUGCCAAAUAAAGCACCUUUGACUUCAGCUAUUUCUCUCUUCAUAAUCAAAUUCAUCUCGCAGAUUUCUUUGCCCAGCUUCACAAAAUUGCCCCCUCAAUUGACAUUGCGUCUUCAUUUAUUUCUGCUUCCAUUAUGGAAUCCGUCCGGUAAAGCUGAGAAAUUUACAUGAGCAUACACCAAAGAAUUAAUUCUUCAAAAAGCAAACGCGACGUCAUUAUCAACAAAGCUUGACUUGAAUUACCACAACUACCAAUUUCACAGCCCUUUUCAUCAUCAUAGGAUGUCUAAAGAAAAAUAACAGAUAUAUGGAGCAUCAACUCAUGUAUCAAACACCGUUUGUUCAGCGAAAAAUGAAUAAUUUAAAAAAUAUAUUUUUAAAAAUAAUCACUUACAAAAAUGAACGAACGAAAUAUAUAUUUCCCUUGUCCAUCAAAAUAUUAAAACAUAAAUUGUUAUCGAUAACAAAAAUAUUUUCCAUUUACUAAUUAUUUCAAGCGAAUUAAGCUAUUCUUUGCUUCAAAUAUUUUGGAAUAUUUUAUUCAUUCUCCUCCGGAAAUUCCUCAUAUAACACGUCAUACAAAUAUGUUGGUUUUUUUUUUUUUUUUGGGCCUCUCCUCCUUUUGCUCCCCCAAUCUAAGGUAAUACACCAAGGCGAUUGUAUAAUUUGACAUCAAAUAGUUGAUGUGUUAUAGAACAAUUGAUAUAUUUUAGUUUAUUUGGGCAAAUUACUUUAUCUAGUCGACUCAUAACAGGGUAAUCUUUGUGUGAUUAGACCUCACUAAAUUUGUUAACAGACUUAAGGUUUCAGCUUUAACUUGCAUACUUUCCACGGAUGAUAGAAAUAGUGAUUUAAGUGACGAAGUCCUUCAAUUUAAUUUCUCCUAGUGCAUUGACUACCAAUGACAUCUAUAGUACUUAUGUUGACCAGUCAAGAGAAAUGGACUACUAUUCCAAAUUAUAAAAGACCAAUUCGAUCAAAUCAGUUAAAAAGUGGUCUCUCCAAUUCACGUUGCCUCGUUCUUGGGAAGUCUUGAGUUUGAUCCUCGUAACAACUUGAUGACGCAACGGAGAGAGAUCUCUCAACUUUCGCUGCGUUCGCCUGGAAGUCACCUGCGGCCUUCCUUCACAAGUGAAAAAACCAUUCACAUCGACAAAAUAAUUGCUUCGAAGAGGAAACACGGAAGGAGAGAGAGAGAGAGAGAGAGAGAGAGAGAGAGAGCUGUGCAUCAGUUUUCACCUUCAAGCAAUGAGUGGGGAGUGGAGGACCAUCGCUUCCAAUCUCGCCAAGCCCAGAUCCGGCCUCGUCGGCUUCGGGCGACCUCAGAUCUGGUGUUGCCCACGGCCGCGAAUAGACGGAGCGAGGCUGCCUCGAGGAGAGAGAGUCGGGGACAGAGAUGGUGGCUUGGCCGAGACGGGACGCGAAACGAUCGGCGCAGGCGAUGGCCGGGGGCGGCUCGACGAUGACGAUGACAGUGACGAAGAGGUGGCGGAGGCUUGCGGUGACCGAUUGGUGGAGGGAAGAGACUGAGGGAAGAGUAGGAGAUUUUUCAGAGUCCAGAUAUUUUUUUAAGGAAAUCCGUCAAAAAAGUGAGGGCAGUUGGGUCAUUUAGGAGGGUAACCGCACCAUGUACACGCGGCAGGUGAACAGAUUUACCAGAGUCGCGUGUUUGGAGUGCUUUGCAAUAAGAAAGGAUUAAAACUAAAACUAGGUACUUUUGCCCAAGCUUUAUGCGGUAUCAUAAUAAAUGUACUUUAAAUAUGUUUUUUUUCAUUUUUAUUUUUGUUAAUGUCAAUAAGUUCGAAUUGUGUAUAACACUCUGUUUGUUAUCCAUUAGGUAUAAAAUUACCAAGUAAAACCAUUUAUCAAAUCAAACAUGGAAAAUACACAUGAAAGUUUUAAGUCAAAUUUAACUUUUCAUAAAGGUAUAAUAAUAAAAUUUAAAAAAUUGAAUAUUGCUACUCUCUAUACUAAUUGAGAUGCUUUUGCUAGUGCAUUUUCAGUUAGACAUUCAUAAGAUUAUAAUAACAUAAGAUGAUUUAUCCAGUACGAUUCAUAAAAGAGAUGAUUUCAAUUGGCCGAUUAGGUCCACUCAAAUUUGGCGUGACCACAAAGGAAGCAUAAUUGAUUAACCCCUUUGAUCUUUUUGUCUAUUUUGUUUUUGGAAUGAGGAAUCUCUUCCUUUAUUUCUAGGCAAGAAGAAACAGAUUUCAAUUGCUUUUGUUAUGCUAAUUAAAUUAAAAAAUGUUUAACUUUUCUCAGUUGGAAACAAACUUCCAUUUUGCUAAGCCAAACAAAGUAUAUCUUCUUACAUUCGAUCUAGAUUCGUGCUAAUUGGCAUGAUCAAUUAAUUCUUGCUUUCAUUCCACCUACUAGCAUGAUGUAUCAGUAAAAAGCCAAUUUUUUGUGCUUCGUGUUGGCACAGUCUUAAAUAUUUCAAUUAGAAUUUUAUUCAUGAACAGAAAGAAAAUCAAGCUCAUUUAUACUCUGCUUAAGAGGCUCGGGAUAUUAAUCAAUUUUUUUUUUUUUUUGGCCAGAAGGUUUCUCUUAUUUUGUUCAGUUAGAUGUUGGACGUAUUGGACAACUUAGUAUAUAUUUUCCACUUGCCAUCACUUUGUUAUUGUGUGCCACUUGCCUGGAAGUUACCUGGGGCCUUCCUUCAUCAGUUAAUUAAAAAAAAAAACACCAUUCAGACUCAGCACCAAAUAGAAAGCUAAGUUUGAGGAAAUAAUUGGUGUAAGUCUUCGAAGACGAAGAGGUCGUCUCGGAAUUAUAUUAUAUGAUUGCAUCUUCUUUGAAUGUUUGGACGCAUUCCCACUCGCCAUUACUAGGAUAUUUUGUUCCAUUUGUCUGGAAGUUACCGGCGGCCUUCCUCGAUGAGUCAAAAAGACCCUUUUAGGUUCCCACCAAAUGGGCGGCUAAGGCAAAUGGUCCAAGACGAGUCCUCAAACAUCAUCGAUGUGUGAACCGAGGCUCUAUGUGAUAAUUUUCGAAUAAUUACUCUCAAAUAUUAUAAAGAAACGACAUUUAGAUAAUACCGACUCCAUUUUCUUGUUUGAAAAAUUUGACAUCCAUUGAUUGAAUUUCUGAAUGUUGACUUACGAUAUGAAAUUUGAUGAUUGCACAUCUUUGCAUUGUGAACGAAAUAUUACCUUUGAAUCAAGCAUUUCAUGAAUCACCAAGAGAGUUUAGCCUAUGGCUAGGCAGACACAUGUAACCUCAUUAUGAGGUGGUGCUUACAUUUCGUAUUGGCUCUCUCGAACUCUAUCCAAAAAAAUCCACGGAGUUAUGCCUAAGUCUUGAAGGGAAAAAUUGUCUUAACCUGAUAACUCUUAUUAUUGGGACAAGGAUUUUGAUAUUUUAAUUUGAUUGUAUGGAAGGGGGACAGUUAAAGAACCUUAUAUUCUGAACCCUAUGAGCUUAGCAGCAUACUGGAAAAGUAGUUGAGUGGUAUGCUUUGGAAAACAUAUCUUAAGAGACCAGCGAAUAUGCUUUGCUAUCUUGUAGUGUUACAAUUUAGACAUAAAUCAUAAGAUCCCAACCAUAGGUGAGGGUCCCGGCCUUCAUUGCCUCAGGCAAGGAGUGCCCUUGCCUAGAUUUAGUCACCUUGCAAUUUUAGUUGGCCAACCUACCUAGAAGUUCCCACACUUUAAAUUGACUUAAUUAUUCAAAAAAUUAGAAGACAUUGGUUAAAGUUUUCUAUAUUCUUUUAUUUCAAGUCCAUGCUCAUUUUAAUCUUUCACGCAAUUUGAGUUUUGCUUAGCAAACUAGGUGUACUAAAUAGAUCACUUUCACUGAGCAAAAGAGUCCUCACCAAACUUUAGCUGAUUCUUGAUGGAAAUUGUGAAGAUAAUGCGGUUCCUCCUUGACAAUGAUGCCAGCGAAGUUGAGAUUUUUGAAACAUUUUAUUCUCAAAUGAGUGUCUUUAUGCUUUUUUUUUUUUUUUCAUGAUAUUGACCCAUGUUUCCCGGUAUUUUCAGUGGGCCAAACAUGUUGUGCUAGUCUUGUGGGUGAGUCGCCAAGUCUAUUUGAUGUGCAAUUUGGCCAUGUGCAAACAAACGCAUGCUAAGCGAAUUGACUAGAUAAACGUACUUUAGUGCUUUUUCUUUGCCUUCACAAGCGGGUCGGACAAAGACUUGACGAUAAACUUGUCUUUGUUCUAAGCAAAGACAAAAGGCCAUAGAUUUGUUUCUAAUUCAAACUAUGCAAUUCAAUCAUGGUGUGAAUCAAGGGAACAUAAUGGAGAUGCUUUUCUUAUUGCAUUAUUAUUUAGACAUACAUUGGAUUAUAAUAACAUUAGAUGAUUUAUGCAGUAUGAUUCAUAAAAGAGAUGAUUUUAAUUGGUUUGUUAGGUCCACUCAAAUUUGGUGUGACCACAAAGGAAGCAUAAUAAAUCCCCCUUAUUCCUUUUUGUCUAUUUUGUUUUCUGGAAUAAGGAAUUUCUUCCUUUAUUUCUAGGCUAGAAAAAGCAUAUUUCAAUUGCUUUUGUUGUGCUCAUUAAAUUAAAAAAUGAUUAGCUUUUCUCAGCUGGAGCCAAACUUCCAUUCUGCUUUCCUUAAACCAAACAAAUUUUAAUCUAUCAACGAGAAUGUUAUUCAUGACCGAAAAAAAGAAAAAAAAAAAAAGAGAGAGAGAGAUCGAGCUCAUUAAUACUUUAUUUGAGAGACUCGCCAUAUUAAUGAACUUUCUAUUAUUUUGUUCAAUUAAAUAUUUGAUAGUUACGGAAAAAUAAAGGGCAAGAUAUUUAAAAAUUUGUAAUAUACAUAUAUAAUUAAACAAAUGCAAAGGAUAAUAUUUGAAUAUAUUGAGCUCAAGCUUGAACUCAUUUUAUAACAUGAUUGUAUCGAGUCUACUUGAGCUUGAUAUCUCGAUUUUUUCUGGUCAAGCUCAAGCUGGAAAUUGAAUACUCAUAAUCGGGUCUUCUUUUUAUGGAAGAAAAAUCUAAAAAUGAAAAAAGAAAUGGUGUUUUUAAUAUAUUUGAAAUUCCUACAAUAAAGAAAAACUAAAAAUUUGAAAUUGUUAAUUAAGAUAACGGAAUCAUACAUUGAAAUAGAAAAACUAAAAUGAAAGGAAAGUUAAUGAAUUUAGAGCCACCAACAAAAUUGCAAUUGAAUGAUUUAGAGCAAUUUUGUCUUUUUAGUGAAAAUUUGGUAAAUUUAAUUAUAUAGGGAAUGGAUUUCUCCAUCGACUUUUUGGCAUGGAUCAGGUGAGGCUUCGUAAUCACUUAUCAAGAAAAUGUAUGUAACUCAAGAAAUAAAUGCAGGCUUUUAAGGUAAGAAUGCAUAAAUUGCGGGAAUGGGAAUAAACUCUGUUGUAUGUGCUCUUUGAAGAUACAAACUUCUGAAAAAUCGGUCCUGAAUGAGCAGGCUGAAGGUGCUGGUGAAGGAGAUGUUUGUUGAAAUUUUGGAUUUUUCUAUUUUUUUUGGGGUCUUAGAGUGCUUGUGGUGAUUGGCGGGAUGAUGCUUGCAGGCUGCAGCAAUACAAGCUGGUCGAGAUGAAACUCCUAGCUCAACAGAGGGAUCUUCAGGUGUGUUGUUGAAUUCUGCUAUGUCAGUUUGGCGUAAUCGCUGGCUUUCUCUAAUUCGUAUUUUUGCUGGCAAAGGUUUCCUGACUUUAUCGAUGCUAGUUUGGGAUUUGUUAUUAUCGACAUCCCUUUAGAUGUUUGUGUAUAAUUUCUCAUCGACUGAUUCUUUUGUAUCGUUAUAUCUGCUAUUGAAUUCGCUGUUGAGUUACAUUUUGUCGUUCAUUUUCUUCAAGUGAUCACAGACAAAGAUCCAUAUUCAAAUGCACUAUUGAAUACCGUAGACACUAUCCCUCCUGUCUGCCCUUGUGCUAGCACUGGACCUUCUUUCUUUCUCUUCCUUUUCUUUGGUUUUUUCUUUUUUCAGUAUAGUAUAACCUAUGCAGUGUUGAAAUGUUGCGCAAUGGUUACCAUGGAGGUGGGCGUACGUGCAUGUGUGGGUAGACCCUUUUUUAGAACUUUGAAGCAUUUAAGUGUGCAACUUUUGUCUUGAUUCUUAAGAGGUAUAAUGACAUGAUUAGAGAUAUUGAUACCAAAGCUUUAAUCACAAUGAAUAUUUAGUUUCAGGAAAUAAGAAAUGUACUAGGUUGAGACAGACAAUUUUGUCUUUCAGAAAUUGAAAGUUCCGUCCUGUCAUGAUCUAUUUUAGAAUCGUCGGCUCAUCCUCCGAAAAUUUUUCGGAGAUUUCGAGAUUUUUACGGAAAAAUUGAUUCGGACGUUGCGAAAAAAUAGUGAAAAUUCAGAUGGGCCAAAUUAAAGGAAAUUUGGACUUCCAAGCAGAGCCUUUGAGCGUCAGAGACUUACAGAAAAUUGUUCAGGAUUUUUCUUCAACGAAAUCGGACGUCGAUUGGAGAAUUUCGGGAAGAAAUUGAAUCUAAAGUGAUGAAAUUCGGACCUUAGGAUGGGGGUGUGCAACAUUGGUACCAAUUUGGAUAAUUGUGGAUUUAUACUUCAAAAAAAGUAAUUGGGGGACUAUAAAGGAUAAACAUGAAGACUUUAUAUGCCGAAUCACGAUGAUUUAGAUAUUUUUUAUUGGACUUUUUUGUGCCCCUUUCUCUAUCCCCUUCGCACGCCUCAUCCAUCCCUUCUUCAUCGUGCGAAACCUCUCUCUUUCAUUGCAACCCACCGAACCAGCUGAUCACACUUUCCUUUCAUUUGCUUCUUUUUUUUUCUCUCUCUCUUUCAUUGCAACCCACCGAACCACCUGAUCACACUUUCCUUUCAUUUGCUUCUUCUUUUUUUUUUUUUUUUUUCUCUCUCUUUCAUUUUACUUCAAGCACCCCAUGUGAGCCAACCUUCCAACAACAAACUUUGGUUUGUUGACCGCCCCAUCAUCUUCGGUUUUGCUCCACCGAAGCAGCUCCGUGUCCCACGCGUCCGAAGCUGCCUCUUCUUCCUUCGCACGCGACUUCCCCCUUCGCAGCUUCUCUUUCUUUUUUCUGUUUCGGCUCUCUUUCACUUUUCCCUUGAAGCAGCCCCUUUCUUCGAACACUGCAGCUCCUUCCUCUGAAAUUUUGAGCCCACGUUCCUCUGCCCACCAGUGGCCGAAGCCCACCGAUCUUCUCUCUCUCGCGUUGCUGUCCCCACGCCGGUCAGCUCCAGCAAAUCUUCUCCACCUUUGUUGACCCAACAGCUCCCUUCGUGCGCCAGCUGCCAGCGCUACCAGCCUGCUUCCAUUUGCUAGUUCGUGAGUCCAGCGAAGCCGAAGCAGCCCAGCUUCCACGCCCAUGAGAUCCACCGAAUUAGCAGGCCCAUUCUGUGCAGCCAUCUGAAGCCGAAGUCCAGCCCAUGCAGUUCUUUUCUUCAUCCCAUCUCCAGCAGAAUUUCAAUCCAUGAGCUCAGGCCCAAGUUCAGCCUAAGUUUCCAGCUCACUUGAGGCCCGUGCAGUCAAGCCUGCGAUUUUGAGGUCCACUUGAAGGCCGUGAAGCAGCCCAACUUGGAUCCAGCCUAAAUCAAGAACAAAUCUCAGCUUGGGCUGAGAUUUGUUGGGCCGGUUCUAGGCCCGGUCCAAGCCCGUUGACGCCGCCGCAAACCCAAGUUUCGGCCGUCGUCGUGUCGUCAUCUCGGUGAACCGGCUUCUGCAAUAAAUCGGUGAGUUUACACAUUAAACUCUUUUUAGUAGGCUAAUAAUGUUUAAGGGGUGUCUAGAUUUAUUUAAGUGCAAUUAGUUUAAUUAUUAAGUUAAUUAGUUAAAUUAGGAUAGUUAGAUUAAGUGAUUAGGUGGUUAGAAAUUUAUAGUUAAUUAGAUUAGUGUAUUGUUAUAUAGCUAGGGUGCUUAGAAUAAUUUCUUUAGCUCAAUAGGUGGUUAAGUUAAAUUUAUUUAGCCUAAGUUAGAAUUUUAGUAUUUAAUGCAUUUAUUUAAUAAAUUUUAGAAAUUAUUUAAUUAUUAAAUAUUUUCCGGAAAUUAAGCCGGGGUAGCCGGUGACCGAAAUUUCGUGCUAAUUGCAAUGGUGUGGUUAAUUUCUGCAAUCGAGUGUUAAAUUGUGAAAUUUGAGUGUUGAUUGAAAAUUUGAUCAAUUAUUCUAAAAUUGGUGAAUUUUGACAUUUAUCUAGAAAAUCCUGGGUGUCGGGUUUUAAACACCAAAAAUGGUUUUAUAUACUAUAUAAACUAGUAGGAUUUUUUUUUUUUUAAAUAGGGUUAUGAAUUUUCCGAGUCCAAUCUGACCGUGUACUCACACAUGACUAUUUUCAUCAGGUGUUUUUAAUACGAAGGAAAUAGGCCAGAAUCACUAUUUUAAUUGAGGCAUUUGAGUGCAAUGCACGGUGUCCUGGGCCGAGAUUAAGUGGUUGUGUGUUGGUUAAGAGAACCCGUCCCCGAACUGUGUUGGAUGGAUGUUACAUUAUAUGGGAUACCCAUUUAUUGGAUUUUGGGGUGUAGUAGAGGCUAGAUCUAUACUCCUUCGGGAAAGUAGUCUUUGAGAGACAUAAUCGUGCUCAAUGGGGUGAGACGAUGCCUGGCUACGCUAGUAGACCGCCAAACUUCUACUAGGCCAUACCCUAGAGUGGGCGAAAUUAUCAAUUGGAACGCAUGUUGAGUGGAGUAGAUGCGCCGAAUUAUGGGACAAAAUUAUGUGACAUAGUAUGGGACGUGUCAUAAUAAUUUAGCCCUAUAAUCUGGACCCCUGUGAUUUAUUGAGUUGAGUAAUGCGUUUCAAUUGUUGUGUGCAUUGAUUUUAUGCAUAAUGUGUAUAAACUGUGCUGACCUGCAGGGUGAAACUGAGGCGAGGUAAGUCCUCUAUGCUAAAUGCGUGAUUGAGUGGUUAGGACACCUUUAGGUGUAUUUCCCUCCUAAUCGGGGUAUAGAGUGUGAACUCGCUAAGAUUUAUAUCUCACCCCGUCGUGGGUUAAAUUUUCAGAGUCGUCGAGUGGAAGACCUGAAGCCGAGAGGAGGUGAUUAGAAGUGUAGGUUACUUAGGACUGUUUCUUUUUUGGAAAGCUAGUCUGUGUAGUCUUUUGGUCAUAGACCUUGUACAUGACUCAAUGUGUAUAUAAAAGUGUGUUUUGUUUGUGAAAUUGUUGUCCUGCUUUUUUAUCAGGGGAUUUAUUUUCGCUUCCACAUAUAUAAUCAAACGAAAAGGGUCGGCGACUCAUCUAGGAAGUCGCAAAAUUUUAUCGACCAAAGAGGGAUGGGCAUGCGCUCGGGGUUCGGGGCGUGACAAAUUCGAUUCUAUUUUCAAUUUAGAAUAUGUGGAUUUUUUUUUUUUUUUUAUAUUCAGUACCAUAUCUCCAAAGGACAUUUUAAUUCGAUCUCAAUUGUUGAGUUAAACCUCAAGACCAUCUCAACUUGUUCAUUGUAUAAAAAUUCCUAUGUGACAUCUAAGAUUGAAAGAAACCCCAUUAGAAUAAGUCAAUUUUGGAUGGUUGAUCGUCAAGACUAAAAAGCAUCUAGCAUCGAUUCUUUAUCCCAUGCUCACAAUCACAUUACAUCUAUUGCUUGCUAUUAAAUGCUUGUUUUGUAGAAAAGAAAAAAGAAAGGGUAAAAGUCAUCAAAAAUCCUAAAUUAUAUUUACUGUGAUACAUUUACUCUAAUUUUUUUUUUGUGACACUAGGAACCUAAACUUGUAUCUAUAUAACACAUUUAUCUCAAAUUUGUACAGUGAGACACAUUUAUCCAAAACUUCUUUUUGUGAUACCAAAAAUCCUAAAUUUGUAUUCGUGUGACAUGUUCACCCUUAAAAUUUGGCAUCGAUUUUAAUGUUACAAAAAACAAUCUAGGAUAAAUAUGUCGCACAGAUAUAAGUUUGGGAUUUUUAGUGUUGCAAAAAAAAUUUGUGGUAAAUGUAUCACACGGGUAAAGUUUGGGAUUUUUUUUUGACUUUUUACCUUUUAUUUCUUUUUUUUCUUCUCUAUAUGGGCUAAAGAACGUAGAUCUUUAUACGUUGACAAGCAAUGAUUCACCUUUUCUCUCACCACGAUGAAAAAGAUUUCUUUUUGUCACGCCCUAAAUCUUGAGUGUGCGCACAUCCCUCGGUGAUCGAUAAAAUUACAACGUCCCGGGACGUGUCGCUGACCCAUUUAUUUUAUUGUACAUGCGGGAGCGAAUAAACAAAUCCUCAUACAACACAAAUAUGGGAUAGAAGAGCAGGACCACAAUUUCACCAAAAAGCAAAUUUUCAUAAACAAACUAGUCUGUCUACAAAAAGAUCGGCUUUAAAAAAGAAGCUGUCCUACGAACUACUAGUCAGACACAUUUGCCGAUCCUUCGGACUCCACCUCCACAGCUUCGGGGGCUUCGGGUCCUCCACAACCCCAUCAAGAGGGUCAGUUGCACCCUUGCCUGGAGCGGCGUUGACCGCAAUGACAGGGAUAUCAAAACCCUAAAGGGGACCUUUCCUAUAUCCAUUGAGCCCAUGGCGAAACCACACCCUGAAUCGAUGAGGUACCCUUUGAGGUAAGCCCUCAUCAACCCAGAUAGUGGUCACAACAAACUCAUGGAUCCAGUGACUCUCGGGGAUAGGGACAUCUAUACUCCACUCAAUAACCCCCCGAGGCUAUCUAAAAGAACCACGACCAGGGUGAGACAACGUCUCAGCAAGUCUACUCCCUAAACCCGAAUUUAGAAAGAAAAUACUCCUAGAGGUAAUCUAACCACACAUCACAGAAGACUUACCUCGCCUCAAUUCCUUCCUGCACGUUAGUACAGUUCAUAUCACAAAUAAUUGCAUUAAAAGCACUCAUCAAUCGGGAUGUCUCAACUUAUAACCCGAACAAUUACAAGGGUCUCGAUUAUAAAGCCAAAUCAUUAUGACACGUCCCAUUCUGUGCCACACAAUUUUGUCUCAUAAUCAAUUGCGUCAAUUUCAAUCAAUCAUGUGUCCCAAUUGAUUACGACCCAAUGGCCACGGUCGACUCAACAAUCAACAGUCCUUCGGCGUAGCUGGGCGUCGUCCGGCACCAUCGAGCACGGCAACGUCUAUAUCUAGACAACAUUCCAUAUAGGAGCAUUGGCCUAGCCACCAUUGCGAUUGGCAUUAGUUGACUUGGGGCAUUCCCGAAGGAGCAUUUUCUAGCCCCAAAGGCUCGUGACGGGUUCUCAUAUCAUUCAUGCACCCAUCCAAUCCCGGCCAAGACAUAGUGCUUUGCACUCAAAUGUCCCAAUUAAAAUAAUGUAUUUGGCCCAUUUUCUUCGUAUUAAAAACACACGGUAAAAUAAUCGUAUGUGGGUACAUGGUCAAUUUAAACAAGAAAAAUUAAUAUCCUUCCUUUUAAAAUCCCACUUUUUGAUAUAGUCUUUAAAAACAUUUUAGGUGUCAAAACCCGACACUCGGUAUUUUCUAAUUAGAUACCAAAAUUUCAUAAUUUUAAAAUAAAUACUCAAAAUCACAAUCAUCACUCAAUUUGCACAAAUUAACAAUUAAUUGCAUAAACUAAGCACACCAUUACAAUCAGCACGAAAUUCCGGUCACCGACUAUCCUAGGAUAAUUUCCGGAAUAUUAUUAAAUAAUUAAAUAAAUGCAAUUUAAUCCAAUUAAUGCAAACCUAGGUUGGAAACGCUAAUUUAACCACCUAAACGGGCCUAGAAAAUUAAUGCACUUCUCUACAUAAAUAGUACAAUCUAUUUAGCCCUUAGUCAAUCUAUUCUAACCACCUAACCAUCAUAAUUAAGAAAAUUAAAUUAUUAAUAAAAACUAACUAACCACCUAAGCCAUACUUAGCCUAAUCUAAUUACAUAUUAAACAUCAUUAACUCCCUAAGCAUAGUUUAGCAAGUAAACUCACCGGAUUAGCGAAUUAGUGAGUCCAAGUCGAUGAUGAUGUAGAGGCGGGCGACACACAAGCUUGCAGUGACACCGAGUGAGGUCCGGAAGAGACCUAAAACGGGCCACGAAGCCCAACAGCCACUGCUGGCCUUCGGUUCUGUCUAAGGACCAAAGGGGCUGGGCCAAGCGACUGGAUGGGCUGGAACAGCCAAAGCGAGACGGCGGCGACUGCUGUAACAUCUUGAAAUUUUCAGUUAUACUUUCAAUUAAAUUAAUCGUGCCUUUCAUCAACGUGCCUAUAGUGCUAUUCUCAGAGUUGAUCACUUCUGAGAUAAUUUGACUAUCUGGGGAAGUCAUUAAGGGAUUUUAAUGCAUUAGACUUAAAAAUUUGACUAGAAAUCGGCUAUUUGAUCGUAUUCAUUAACAGAGAUCAUUACGGCAUAGUUAAAAGUCAAUUAGAGAUCAGAGAUAGGUUGGUUCAACAGAGAUUUGUGGCUAAACAUGGGUGAUUCCACUUAAUUAUAAAAUUCUCGUCGACUGACACUAAACUGAUUUUUCUGUCGUUUUGGUACCAUGUGUCCAUAUUCGAAACCUCGAGAUUUUCAUAACCACCGAGAGCCACCAAUAUGUCGAAGAGGUUCAUUAUGACUUCAAGAAAAUCGACAGCGGGUUAUUUGCACUAAAAAUUCCUGAAAACUAUCCAAUAACCUAGGUCACGCUAAAAUCGCGACAUAUUGAAAUUAACCGCGAAUUUGAAUCUGAUUUCAUAAAUUGAAAGUUCUUUCAUGUCACAAUUCAUUUUAGGAACGUCGACUCAGUCUCCAAAUAUUUUUCUGCAAACCGAGAUUUUGGCGGAAAAAAUCGAUAUAGGGCCGUUUUCGACCGAAAAAUGUGGAGGACUAUUUUUUUAUCGCAAAAGUGGGAUGCAAGUAGGAUCUAUUGGUGAGGAAAAAUGCCAAGUUGAUCGAGAACUCAACGGUUGAAUUUUUAGAAGCCAAAUGGAGUUGAUUCAAAGAGGAAUUGAAGUCCAAUUUGGGGAAAUUCCAAUCAAAAUUCAUAGCUCCCCCUUGGACCCAAUAUUUGGACCACUCCAAGGCUUCUAGAGGAAGAGUUGGCUGCUAGAAAUUGUAGAGGAAUCCAGCUGGGCAUUGGUGGGACACACCAAGGGGACAAAGAGAUGAGAGAGAGGCCAAUGUGGCCCCCCUUGUAGCUGUCGAUUCCCCUCCUUCUCCUUUCUUCAGUCGAGCCUCCAUUUCCAGCAGCUAGAAGACUUCAAAAUUUCUAGCAAAACCAGAGAAACUGCAGCCCCUUCCCCCUUGACCGUUCGAGCAAUCCGCCGGAGCCCAGAGCCACUGUCGCGCCAUUCGGCCGUCCGCCUAGCCACCGCAUGCCAGCCUCACGCCCGCACGUCUCUUGCUGUCAUCCCUGCCCGUUCGCACUUCUAGCAGCUCACCAGGCCAGGUCGGGCCACCGUUGGAGCUUCCAACACCGCUAUACGCCACCGCCUUCGCCCGUCCAAGCCGCAGCAGCCUCAUCGUGCCCGUUUCUAGCUCAACCGACCACUGGAGUAGUCUUCUCGGCCCUUGACCAGAACCGGAGCUAGUGGAUUUCCAGCCUACUGUUUGGCCCGUUUUCGAGCCUUUCCCAGCCCCGCUUGGUGGUCCCGCUUUAGAGUUUGUUGAUCCUCUCUGCGUCCCUGUCAUUGUGGUUCAAGCGGAUUGUUAAUCAAGUGAGUUUAACUCACUAAUCCCUACUUAGUAAGUUAAUGACGUUUAAGGGUUGAUUAAUUUAGACUAAGUAUGGAUUAUGUGGAUAGUUAGAAUAGAUUAGUGAAUUAAUUUAUUGUUAUUGUAUAUUAGGUGGUUAAAGUAUUGUAAUUAGAGCCUAGACAAGCUCUAGUAUUUAUCUAGAGUAGUUUAUAAAUUUUCCGGGCCCUUCUCGGCUUUUAUUUAGGCUUUUCUAGCUUAAGUGGUAUUUAUUGGUAUUUAAUAAUUAAUUUUCAUAAUUAUUUAAUUAAUUAUUAUUUUUCGGAAAGUAGACCGGGAUAGCCGGUGACCGGAAUUUUGUACUGAUUGUAAUGGUGUGAUUUUUUUAUUUAAUUGACUACUAAUUUGUGCAAUUGAGUGUGAUUUGUGAUUUUGGGUAUUUAUCCCAAAUUUUAUUUAAUUUAAGCAAUUAAUUAGAAAAUCACCGGGCGUCGGUUUACAACGCGAAAAAUGAAUUUGAGGACUAUUGAAAUUAGUGGGAUUUUCAAGGAGGAAAAUAUUAUAUUUUGGCUAACGCUGACUGUGUACUCACACACGAUUCUUUUUAUCGGAAAUGAUAAAAAUGGUGAAAUGGUUAGAUGAUUAGAAUGGUAUACUAUAUCAGCUUGCGGGCUCGAUAUGUCAGUUUAGAGUGAGCAGUAUAUCGAUAUAUUAUAUCAGCUUGCGGACCUCGAUAUGUCAACUUAGAGGGAGCAGUGUACCUUAACAGCUUCUGAUGAGCAUUAUUAGUAUACUAUAUCAGCCUGUGGGCCUUGAUAUAUCAACUUAGAGCGAGCAAUAUAUUAUUUAUCAGCUUAGAGUGAGCUAUACUAUCUAUUUAUUAGCUUCGAGUGAGCAGUCCUGGUUAUGAUCGAACUUUAUAGAUAGUAUUGAUUGAGAUGACCGGGGAAUAGUCUUGAUGAUAUGAAAUCGGCUGAGUCAAUUGAUCGAUUGUUCAAUAUGAGUGGAUGAAUUAUUGGUUGAAAUGAUUGAAUGGUUAUUUGAAUUGUACUAACUUGUAGGAAGAAAUUGAGGCAAAGGUAAGUCCUUUGACCCGUGCUUGUGCUUACACAGCCCUAAGGGCGUAUGUUCUUCCUAGUCGGGUCUUAGGGGGUGAACUCGCUGAGACGUCGUCUCACCCCAUUGUGGGAUAACCCUUCAGGUCCAUAGAUGGUAGCUUCUCCCGAGCAUUAACUUCCAGUAAACUCUACUAGUCAUAGGGGCCAUUGGGUAUUAGAGCUUUGGUUCAAUGGCUCCUCCUAUAGGUGGUAAGGUAGGGUGGGUGGUACCGCUCAGAUUGCGGCCAAUCUUCCUAACCGCGUAACUUUAUGUUUAACUGGUAUUGACUAUAACUGCUAUUGAUCUCCCACUACACAGUCAGUAAUAGAAGAAGGAGCAAAGAGUCUACUAUACCUUGGCCCCUCCUUCUCUAAUCUUUAGAUAAUUCUCAUGGAAUGUCUCCAGAAUGAUCACCCGUGUUGACACCAUUAACAGAGUCUACAUUCUAACCAGAAAAUCUUGGAAUAGGUGGUUCUCUCUCCAACUUGCUGGGGUGACGAAUUAUCCUCGUUGGCCGAGGAACGACUCUUCUAAUUUCUUGUUUUUGCCAUUAACACUUCCUAUGAAUGGAACACAACGGUCUCAUUGGGUGUGCCAAAAAGAUGUUUGUCGAGGGAAGUUCCCUCAACAAAAUCUUUCAUCAAAGGGGCAAAGUUUCGACUUUAUUAUUUAAAAUGGAUUAUGUGUCACUCAGGAAAGGAAGCAACCGAUCUAAAUUACAGGCAAACAUAGAUGCAGGAAAAAAAAAGGAGAAAAAAUAAAACUACGAUUCAAAUUAAAAGUGCGAUCAAAGAAAUAGAGCGAUUGAAAAGUAGAUGAUCAAUUGUUGAUUUGGGAAAUUGACCUUUCUAUUGAUGCCUCUUCGGCUAUUUAUAGUGGCGAUUUAUGGGUAACUACUCUUUAGUGGUUAUCAUUUCAAUAUUCAAAAUGUUUCAGAAGCUUUGGCUCCUUAUCGAUAAUUACUCUGCCUUAUCGAUAUUUUCGUUGGUACCGAUUCCCGUAACUACUUCCUUUCUUGUCUCGCUUGCCUUGGCAAGUUCUAAUGUCACACUGUUCGAAAUCUUCGUUGUUGACUAUUGGCGUUUUGGCCCACUACCCAUGAAUUCUUGUGUGCUAGGCCUGCUUUACUCUCUUCUAUUUCCAAAGCCCAACAAGCAAAUUUUGGAUGCCAACAGAAGCACACGCAAGAAUAUGAGAGGAAGUCGUGGAUCUUUCAAAUUUAUGUCCCCUGAAUGUGACUAAUUGACCAAGAUCUAUAAAAAAAUAUAAGGUAGUUUGAUUAAGCUAAUUAUGAGUGAAAAUAGUACUUCAGCAAACAAAAGGUAAGGUUAGUACAUUAAGCCGUUGAAUGCCUAAGCAUAACACAACUCUUAGCCAGAAAUAGUUCGACUGGUAAUAAUUAUUGCUCAUAUAGAUUCCCAACCAUUACACUUGAAGACAUUCAGCAUGAAUAGUUGAUUGCAUUCUGGAACUCUGCAUAAACAGAUGAACAAAGGUAAGAUUAUUGCUGGAGAAGUAGAAUUUCAACUUUAAUAAUGGGAAUGCUUGAAAUUGCAAUUAUAACCAUUGACAUCAAAAGUGGAGUAAAGUUGGCAGUGAUCUUUGAUUGUGCAUCAUCAGAUAGUCCCUGCUCAAUCUUCAAAACUACAAGAAACAAAGGUGAUACAAAAAGGAGAAAUCUAGGUUAUUGCAUUUGCCUUAAUUAAUUCAGUAAAAAGUUGAGUUAUCAAAUUCCCAAACUGAGCUUAAAACAACAAAGGAAAAAGAAAAGGACUUGUCAUCCGCAUAACAAAUAAGAAUUCAAGAAUAUAAAUGCCUUAUUGGGCAAAUUGAAAUAUCUUCCCUAAUUGUAAUUUAAGAUGAGCAGGAACGAACCAAUAGCAAACAAAUAGAGAAGAAAAUUGUAGUUUCACUCUCUUUUGGAGGUGAACAUUAAAGAGAAUUGAUGUAGAGAAAAAUUGAGUUAAUUGAUUGUUCAAAAUACCUCUUGUCAAACCUAAUUUUGUAUGUUGACCAAAAAAAUAAUAAUUUUGUCUAGUGUACCUAACAUUACUUAAAUAUUUUUAUGGAUCAAAGGGACUAAUUAUAUUCAUUCCUUUUCUCACCAUGAUAACCCAUGAGAAGUUUCCAUAUUGACAAUUUCAUGAACUGAGCAAAGCAGGUGAGUCACCUAAAUCUUUUAAUUAAGCAAAGUCUUAAUAAACAAAUGAUACAUACCUCAUCCAUCUUUGUUGAACCUCGGGCAAUAACUUACAGUGAGUUCGCAAGAUUUUGGCACUCCCAACAUUCUCUUCAAUGAUUCACAUUGAUUGAAAUCCAAUCUUUUUAGAUUUUGUAAAUUAGAUAGAUCAAAUUCGUUUAAGCUUUUGAUGGAAUUACAGUUCCAAAUCCAUAGCGUCCGCAAUGAUUUCAAUUCUCCCAAACCCUGAAUCUCAAUUAGGUGAGGGAAUUGGCGCAGGUACAAAUGCUGGAUCUUCUUCAAACAAGGCAAAAUGGGCAGAGUCUUAAGUAAUGGACAAUCGAAUAUCAUCAAUUCAUUGAAAUUUUGUAGUUUUCCAAACCCAUCAAAACGAAUCUCACCAAGCCAAUAUCUUUCAAUAAUCAGUCUUGACAAAUUCUCCAAGUUGGAAAAGAGCGACCAAUCUAUUGGUGAUUGGACAUCGACUAAAGUCAACCGUUGAAGGCUAGAUGGAAGCCUGAUAAGAGAUUGAGGGUUGGCAUAACUUACGGAGAGUUCUUGUAACUGAGAGAGGGAACUCAAAUCAGUUGGAGGCAAGGUCAUUUUUCCAACCCACAGGGUCAACUUUCUUAGAGCACUUGCUCUCAAAAGCCCCUCUAUGUUGGGUUCUUAUACUGUUGUUCCGAUUAUAUCAAGAUGAACUAAAUUGGUUAGAUUGGAGAAGUCAGGGAUUGUAGUCAAUGAGUCCAAUGAAAAGCUUAACGACUUUAGACUCUUAGGAAGCUCUGGCAACUGUUGAAUUGACCUACAGUCCCAUAAAUUAAUUUUUUGGAGAUUUGUAAGCCGAUUGAUGGUUGUUGGCAAUCCACUAAAACAGCCACCUGAUAAAUCUAGAAUUUUCAAUGAGGAUAGUGCCCCAAUUUCACUUGGAAUUUCCCCCUCCAAGUGUUCACAUGAGGCACUCAACUCUUCCAAAUUUUCCACUGUUCCUAUAGUUUUCGGAAGUUCACUUAUGCGGCUAUGAUCUAGAUUUAGUGCCUUCAACUUUUUGAGAUUUCCAAUACAAUCAGGUAAGCUCCUGAUGUGUGAAAGACUCAAAUCCAACUUGACCAAUGAUUGGAGCCUCCCAAAUGAGUUUGGUAGCUUUUUUAAAUAGCCAUUUGGGAUCAUAAAAAUUUCCAACCUUCCUAAGUUCCUAAUGGAAUAAGGUAAUUCACUCACACUUGUAUGUCUGACAUUCAACUCAAGUAGUGAUUCCAAUUGUCCAAUAGAAUCAGGGAGUUUUUGCAAUUCCCAACAUGACAAGAUUAGAUGCUUCACAUUCACUAAAUUACCAAUUGAGUAAGGCAACACUGAAAGUUCUUGAGAAAAUAUUUCUAAGUAAUCAAGAUGUUGUAAAACACCGAUGGACUUGUCGAUCUUUCCAAGUUGAUUGCAUCUAAGGAUUAAUCUCUCUAACUUGGAGAUUGUGGAGAACUUUGGUGUCUUUCUAAGUAAUGGACAAUCCAGGAGUUUUAGGACUUUCAACUGUUUUGCUACCUAUAAAACAAUUAAGCUGAAAUUAGAAAAGAAAAAAGAGUAAAUGUAAUGCAAAAAUAUGUCAUGAGAUCAUACCAUGAUUUGACGCCAUCCUCCCCAGUCUUUAGUAAUAUUAAUCCCAGAAAGCUCAAGAACUGCUAGGUUCUCCAACCCAAAGUUGGCAGCAAGGAAUUUCGAUGGGCAAUUGUGCCAAGAGAGCCAUCUUAACUCGGAGAAAUGAUCCUUAAAGUCUCCUUGGAAGUUUCCAUGGUCCAAUUGAAGGAAUCUAAGAUUGUCCAUCCUUGCAAAUUCCUUGUGUUUAAAUCUAUACGUUGCAUCCGGUUCAGGUGUACCGAGAUUAAGUGCCACUAUGUUCUUAGUUCCCUAGAAGAUAAAAGUAGCAACCAAUGAGUACAUGUGUCAAUUUGAGUUGACGUUAGAUCUAAAAGGUAAUGAUAUUGAUGGAUGGAGUGGAAAACAUUUAGAGGUAAAACUUACCUUUUUUCUUUGCACCAAAUGGAAGGCAUCCUUGGGUAACCAUAGUCUACUACCCCUUAAACAUAUGUUGCAACUUUCCCGGUGGACAAUAUCUUGCCCGAGGUCUCUAAGUUGGUCAUGCAUCCACAAUUCAUCGUAGUCUAUGAUCUUUAUCAGAGACAUACGUGUGAGGAUAUUGACUUCGAUUUCGGUGGGAUACCCAAAAACCGCAUCCCAAUAUUUAAUUGCAGUUGUUUUCUCUUGAUUAAUGAAGAAACAUGCAAUAUCAAGAUAUAUUUGUUGCUGAUUAGGGUCCAAUGCUUCAUAGCUUAUCAUCAACUUCUUCUUGACAUCCUCGUUCAUCACCUUCUUUAACUUAGAUAGAACAUUUUUCCAUGUACUUUGGCAUUUUCCACAGAGUGUGGAACCUACGACGUCAAGAGCCAAUGGAAGUCUUCCAAGUGCAUUGAUUACCUUUUCUGAAAUAUCGAUGUAAUCAACCGGAGGCUUGGCACAUCCCAAGGCACACUCACAAAAAAGUUGAAGAGCAUCAUCCCAAUUCAUCUCUGGCAUAGUAUAGAAUGAAAAAUGUGUAGUAUCUAAGAUUGGGGCAUUGUGGUCUUCACCUUCCUUUACUAGGAAUUCAAUGUUCCUUGUUGUUAUGAUGAUUCUAGUACCCUCACUAUACCAGUUUGGCUUACCAACAAGUCUCAUGAUCUGGUCUCGGUUGUCGAUGUCAACAAGAACAAUGAGGACUUUCUUCCCAUGGAGCCUCGUCUUGAUCAAGUGAGCCCCUUCAUCAAUGAAGGAGAGGUUUAUACAAUUGAGUUUGAGGACAUCAGACAACAAUUUUUUUGUAAAUUUAUUAUAUCUUGAGUCCGGACAUCUUUAAGAAAAUAGCAAUGACCUGAAAACUGAGGGGAGAUUUGCCUAAAGACAGCCUUGGCCAAUGUUGUCUUUCCAAUACCACCCAUACCAUGAAUCGCGAUGAAUCUCACAUCAAAUGCUACUAGAUCUAACUGCUCCAUAAUUUCAUCCAUCUGAUCCUUAAUUCCCACCAAAUGAUCAGACAUGUCUGUCCGUCUUGUCCAUAACAAAUUAGAAACUUCCUUGAUCGUGAGAUUCUUAAGUUCAUCUAGGCUGUCACAUAAUAUGCAACCAUCUCAGAUUCAAAAACAACAUAUAUGGAAACUUUGCACGCAUUUCAUGGCACUGGAAGUUUAUCACUGAGUUUAAAGUUAUUUUCUUUGAAAGAAACGAAUAUACAAAAAGUGAUCUUUCAAGCUGCAAGCUGUUUGAAAACCAAAAAACGAAGAAAACAUAUAUAUUCUGUUUUUUUUUUUUUUUGUUCGGCAGAAAAGAUAUACAUUCAAGAGGAGGUGGAGGGACCUUAUUCACAAUUGGAAGCUAUUGCUGUCAAGGUUCUUUGGUCCAGUAAAUGGUGAGAAAAGGUUAUUUUGCGACUGAGGGUCUAGUUGAGCUUCGACUAAAAGUCGCUCCAGCAUAUUGUCACCGAAUUAGAUCUACACAUGGUUGUGUUUGAACAGGUUGUGCACCUCCAAUCCAUUCCAUUCCCUUACAUCUUAUGGAAAAAUUACCAAAUCAAUAUUAAAUAUAUUAAAUACCAUUUUAGUCUAAAACUUUCUAAUAUAAACCUUUACAUAAAAUUUCAGUGUUGUAUAAUGUCAAGCAAAUAUUUAUGACUAUAUUGAAAAAAUUGAAAUGUUUAAAAUCAAAUUAACAUUUGUACAAUUUUGGAUAGAUUUGAUAAUUAUCCUCCAUUUCAUUUUAUACUUUUUACACCAGUUAGUUUCUUCUUGUUGCACAGAGCUGAUAUCAAGACCUCCAGAAGUUUGGCUAAAUAUCAAGUCCUUGGUAAACCAGUCUUGAUCAACUCUUCAAGCAUUUGGGAUGAGUUUGAAGGUUAACGUAAAUAUUAAAAACAAAAAACAAAAAACUCACAAAGCAGUUACCUUUUAGUAUUAAAGUUAGUAAUUUGGUACAAGACUUGGUAAUUUUGAAAUGUGGAGUAAACGAUGUGGUAAGUUGCAAAAAUAUUGUAAAUCGACAAACGAUCUAAUAAACUUAAUAAAUAAUUCACAUUAAAGCCGGUACGCAAGAACUGGUCAGUAAAUUAAUGUAAAAAAAAAAAAAAAGGUUGGUAAGAUACGAGUUAAAGUUCGUAAUUUCAUAUGAAAACUGACAACUAUAAAACUAGGGAUGGGCAUGGGGUAUGGGAGAUCUACACCCCGCGGUGGCCUUUUUGGACGAGGCAAAAUUCUGUCUUGAAAAUUGCCUCACAGGGAAUUUUACUCUCGGCACAGUUGGGCAUGGGCACUAAUAGGCCAGCCCUUCCUGUUCUCGAGGAUUGAAACUAUUACUGUGUUUAAUGAAGGACGGAAACAAGGGUUUAAUGAAGAAAGAUGAAAGUAAGCAUAGAAUAACGACUAGGGUUUAUAGAAAAACUAUCACAAACUAGGGUAGAAAGUAGUUACAUAUCUCAAGGUAAUUAAAAUGAUUAAAUUUCUUAUCCAUUUUCUAGAGGUUCCUAGAUUUCUCUAUCCGUAACUAGAACUACCUAGAAGUCCCUUAAUUGAAUUUUUGGUUUAUUAAGAUCUGGGGCCAAGAAUAGGUCCAUGGUUAAAGCAAGGGCAAUAACCAUUUUUUUUUUUUUCACUUUUUACUGGACAGAAAUGGGUCCAAUAUUGGCAAACUUUAGAUCACUCGUAGACGAAUGUUCAGUUUAAGGCUGUAGAUUUUGUCUAUGAACAAUUGGCCACUAGAGACGCCAAUGACCCCUGCCCCACUAUGAUGAAAGUAAAAGCCCAAGAUUGAUAAUACACCUAAAUCUAAGUCAGUUCUUCACAAACUAAUUAAGAUGCGAUAAGAUGUGUACUAGAGGAUUGAACAUCUAACACAUGCAGAAAUCUUUUUUUUUCUUUGUGCUCUUUUGGAUAAUGGCAUGCAAAGAUCUUUUUAGUGUUUGGUCUUGUAUAUUCAGACCAAAUAGGAAAACCAUGACCUAUAGCUUCCUCUUAUGGGUAUGUAAAACUAUCAUUAUGAAGAAGCUCUGUUAUUUUUGUGUAACUCAGGGGUGUGACCAUAAUUAGCCGGUUACCUCAAGCAAAACAGUAGCAAGGCAUAUGAAUUCCCUAAGGCCGAAAAGGAAUCCACAAGGAUCGCUUUCUUCCUCUUGGCCGUGGAUUUUUGGAUAUUGCAAAGACUUAGUCUAUGCUAUAAUUUCUUUUUAUUCCCGCACAUUUUUACGUCUCCCUAAAGCACAUCAAACACUAACAACUAUUAACUAACACCGACCAUUAAUGGCUCGGAACACAUAAAGAAGCUCGUUAUUGAGCCCUCUUAUUUUGGGCCGAUUCUUCUUCAGCUUUCAUUAGCAUAACAAAAGGAAGAAAUUUACAAGAAAACAUUGCAGGCAUAGGGUUGGGAAAAUUGCACCAAAAGUCCUUAACUUUAGCAAAUAAGUUUACUAGAAGUCCUAAAACUUGUUGUGAAAAGAGAAUCGAGUCAUAAAACUUGCAAAAACCGUAAUCAAACCUUAAAACUUAUCAAAUUAGUUCAAUUGAGUUAUUCCGUUAACUCCGUUCAAUUAAGCUAACUGAAAAUGUUGGCAUGUCUUAUUUUAUUAUUUUCUUAAGACAUGUGGCGAUGAUGUAGCGCCCACCAAGAGCCACAUCAGGAAUAAAAUUUAAAGAAUACAAACAAAAAUUAAAUUAAAAAAUAAAAAAGCUAAAAAAAUUUAAAAAAAAAGAAAAAAAAAUCAAGUCGUGGCUAAGCCUCGCCCUAGGCCUUCUCAAAGCUUGGGGACCCUCGUCUGGGCAUGCCAAGGCCUCGCCUAGGCCCGGCAAAGGCCUAGGCGACCUCCACUAACCCCUCUUGGUGGCUGUGGCAGCGGCCACCAACAAGGGCUUGGCCAAGCCGUGGGGUGAGUUUUUUUUUAAAAAAAAAUUAUAGCUUUUUAUAUUUUAAUCUAAUUUUGCUUGUAAUUUUUAAAUUUUUUCUAAUGUGGCACUUGGUGAGCACCAUGUCAUCGGCACUUGUCUAAUAAAAAAUAAAAUAAGACAUGUUCGCAUUUUCCGUUAGCUAAUUGGAUGGAAUUAACCGAAGGAUUCAAUUGAAUCAAUUCAACAGGUUUUAGAACUUGAUUGCAUUUUUUGCAAGUUUUAAGAUUCGAUUGUACUUUCGUGAUAAGUUUUAGGACUUUCAAUGCACAUAUCCCUUAAGUUUAUGUACAUAAUGCAAUUGAAGUUAAGAAACUUAAUUUAUUUUUUUCACACUUAUAUGGUCUUAUUAUUUUAUCGAAUCUUAGAUCUUCAUGGAUGUCUUGGUUUUUUGGCAUUAUAGAUUAAUUAAUGAAGUCGAUAUACCUUAACACUAAUUGUUAUCAAAACUUAGUAUUAAAAGUGAAAAUUCAAUUUGUGCAAGAAGCCUCGCCAUCUGAGCAAAAUUUCUAGCUCCCCAUUGCGUCAAAUCCAACCAUACAUUACAUAAGGUUCGACAGCAGCAACCUGAAUCUAAUUAUUCUUUAGAGGAAAAAAAAUCGAAGAUGUCAAUAAGAAAAUAAAGUUAUGGAGAAGCAAACAAUACCCAUGAUCUUUUAGAUUCCUUCCUUUAAUUCUGGCAACUGCUUUCAAAGCCUUCUUCCACUUCUUUACUAAAUCCUUCUCUGAGUCACUCUUGUGCUUUUCGAGGGCUUUCCAAUAUAAAUUAGUCUUAAGCUUGACAUCAUCCACAUCCACAUCAUAGAAGAUAGGGAGAAUCACUUUCUCAUCAUUAUCUUUCGAUAACUCCACUAUGCGUGCCAGCUCAUGGAGACACCACUUACUUGAAGCGUAGUUUUUGGAGAAAAUUGGGAUGUAAAUUCUGGAUUCAUUGAUCGCUUGCAAGAGGCUGCCUUCAAUCUCUUCACCAAAUCGAAGCUCUUCAUUGUCUUUGAAAGUGCAGAUCCCCGCGCGGAUCAUGUCAUUGUAGAGAGAAUCAAUGAUGGUUAAGCGGGUGUCAGGCCCUCUGAAGUUGAGGAACACCUCAUAGCCCCUCCUUGAUCUGUCAUCACGGUUGCUGCUCAUUGGAGCUGCCAUUUCCGUUUCUUUUCCCACCCUCUUUCUCUUCAUUCCGUGAGGACAAUGGCUAUUGAUCUCUGAAUUGAGUCGGAUCCUUGUAGCAACCUGACAAAAAGCAACAGAGUGAGAUCGCUCGCUUACUUCCACUACGUUCGCCUGUAAAAAAGACCAUUUAGACUCUCACAAAAUAGGAGGUUGAGGCAACAAUUGAUCAAAGACUUCGAAGAGGAAGAGGUCGUCCCGGGGAUGUUUAUUUUAGCUGAAGUGCAACAUGAUUGAGAGUAUAUGGAAGCAUGUAAUUGAUCAUAUGGAAUUAUCACACGCAUAAACACAAGUUGUCCUGUGUAAGUCACAAUUCUAUAUAGUCAAGCUAGCACUGACCAUGUCUUCAUCUUAUAACAACUUGAUAAACAAACAGAGUGAUAUCACUCACUUCCACUACGUUUGCCUGGAAAUUACUUGCGGCAAAACAAAAAAAACGAAAAAAAAAAAAAAUUAAGCAUUCAGGCUCGCGCCAAAUAGAAGGCCAAGUUGAGGAAAUAAUUGAUGAAAGUCUUCAAAGAGCAGGAGGUUGUCCUGAAAAUAUAUUUUUUUACUGCAUGUUGAUUAAGUGUUGGAUGUAUUGGACAACUUGCCAUUACUUUGUCAUUAGUCAUUAGUGUUCCUUUCGUGUGGAAGUCACCUGCGGCCUUGCUUCAUAAGUAGAAAAAACCAAAUCAGAGUCGCAUCAAAUAGGCGGCUAAGGGAAAUGGUCUGACCAACUGGAUGAGUGGAGUCCUCGAACGUGGUCAGUGCAUGACCCGAGAUUCGAUGUAUGUGAUAAUUUUUUUAAUAAGUAUUGUCAAUUUUUUUUUUUUAAAAAGGCUUUCCGGUAAAACCAACUCCACUUUUCGACAAAAUUUGCAUAUAUUCAUUGAAUGCCAUGGAUUCAUUUUCUGAAUGUUGACUUGCGAUAUGAAAUCUGAUGAUUGCAUGUCUUUGCAUUAUGAACCAAAUAUUACAUUUUAAUCAAGUAUAUCAUGAUUAUGCAUGUUGUCGCAGCCCAGCUGAGGUGAACCUUGAGAGAAUUUAAUUAAUUGCUAGGUGGAGACAUAUAACCCUUGUGCAACUUGGCGCUUACACUUCAUAUGGCUCACCCAAAUCCUAUGGACCACAACUUGAUUUCUCUUUUAAUGUAUGAUUUAAUUUUGAUCAGAGCUGUCACUAAUCUAUUCUAGGCCGGUUGUGAGCUAAGUGAGGAAGAAGAGCUCGUCCUACUUCGGCAAAUCAAUGAAUUUGGACGCAAGGACUUGGUUAAGUUAGUUUUGCCUAAUGCCCACCAUCAGUAGCCUUUUUUCUUUUAAUAAAAAAUUAUUUCAUUCAAUAUAUUUUCAGUUUUUAUUUCUUACCAUGUAUAAGUACUCUUACAAUAAAUUUAAACAAUCAAUGAUGAAGUCAAAGAAAAACAAAGAACAUAAAAAAGCAACUUAGGCAGUAUCGGACAAAACAAUACAACGCGCUGUGAACUAUUCAUAGGAAUAGACAUGCACUAGUCUAAUAAAUUAAAAUUUUCUAAUCUAUGUCAUGAGAAAUUAAUUAUAAAUGCAAUAUUACAAAACUAGCAAUAAUAAAAAUUAGUCUCGUCCUAUAAUGUACCGCAAAGAAGCCCUAAACUAAUCAACAUGCUUCUUUUCAUACUCUUUUUAUAUAUUGAUAUGACAAGAUUAUCUAAAUAUAUAUAUGAAAAAAUUAAAGUAAAUUUAAUUGGUGAUAUAUAAUAAACGCGUAAUCAGAAAGAGACGACAUCUAAACUCUAAGCCGGAAGACGGUAUGGGGGAAAUUGAUACCUAUUUGACAUCUCCGUUUUCACAUGUCUGCAGAAAAGACACGUGAAUGCAAACUCAUGUAUAUGAAAAUGCAAUAUGCUGGAAUUUCAUGAAAAGUGACUCGGAAUGUGUAACUAUAUUUUAUGUGAUGCUAAAACGGACUAAUAAACAAAGGGGGAUCCCCGAGUACCGCUUCGGCGAAGAGCAAACCAACCGGGAGUGGGCUGGAUGAACACUGCUCAGACCGAAGACGGUCUGGACAGUGGACAUUCGACCUAUCCCCGAGUUUAAAAACAGACCCGAAGUGGGCCUCGACAAUGCUAGAGCAAUAACAAACCAAAGGGACCAUCGAGGACCAACCUUGAGAGUCUCAAACAGACCAAAAGUGCUAUUAAGCAUUAUCAAACUCGAGUGAAGUUAGAGUCUGAACAUUGACAGUAAUAUGAUAAUAUUCACUAGCGUGCAAAAAGAAUAAACGAAAGUUGAGAAAUAGAAGAAAUUGCACAUAAGAUUUACAGUGGUUCGGCUUAGAGUAAAUCUACGUCCACUCUCCCACACUGACAGCCUCCUAGCUGGAUUUCACAAGUCUCUCAAUAAGAUGUUAUAGAAGGGAGUGACGAUACUCAGGUUUGUGAUAUACAGUCACUCUUUCAAUGCCUAUCAAGGAUUACAAUUUGUAGCUCAUGAAAGACAAGUAUAUAAGAUUGAAGUUCUCUUGGACUUUGGAAUUUUUUAUUUUGACCUCUCUCUUCUCUUUGGUAUCUUGGUCUUCUUCUAUACUCCUUCACUUCUAAUCUAAUGUUGGACAAUUUUUAGAGAAAUGUUAUCCAAUCAACCCAUUGGACAAAAAAGAUUGAGUAACCGUUGACGGAUAAUAUUUUAAUCUCCAUUGAUUUUGUUGCCUGUACAAGCAAAUAUCGGUUUCCAUAAGUAGAGUUCUUCAAUGAAGGAAAAUAGCUUGCCUUUGGAAUGAUUAUCAAUCAAUCAAAGAUGAUUUGCAUAGAGAUUUUGUUGCAAAACAGUCUUUAAAAUUGAAGCUAAGAAUCUGAAAACAUCAUGGAAAUCUAAGCUAGGUCACUAGCUAUGACGAUAUAAGAAGUGGGGUAUAAGCUCUGUUGAUAUCCUUACUCUUGCUCUGAUGACAUUUGCAUACAAGUUUUGCUAAUAUCCUCACUAUUGCUUUGGUGAUAUUCAUGCAAUAAUAUUGAUGAUAUCCAUGAAUUAAUUGUCUUAAACUUCAAAGGUGAUACACGAACAACAAUAGAUAGAUUCUGAAUGUGAUAAAAAAUAUAUAUAGAUUUAUCCUUCAUGAGUAGUUCCUAAAAUAAAACACUUAUACAUUUAUCAAUAUCAAUAUAACCUUUGCUGAUAUCCUUAAUAUUUCCCAUUUCCUACGUGAGGUUGGUACGCUUGUGGGCCCAUAUAGUUAGGCAGUACUUAAUGGCCUUUUGUGCGGGCACCUUUGAAACGGGGUCAUGUACGGAGGAUCCCCACCUAGGUGCGCUUUCGCUUCCAUCUCUUCGUUUCUUUUUAUUUUUAAUUUGGUUUUAUUUUGAUAACUAUUUCUCUUUUCUUUUUGCUUUGGCUAUAUGAGCUCGCAAGGAAAUGAGAAAUGAGAGAGAACCUUUGUUCCUAGCUCGAUCAUGACGGCUGGGAGUCUCUUUGAACCCGAGAAGGGCGCUAGUUGAGUAUGUAAUGUAGACACCGAAGAUUUGAGCAAAGUUGACCGAGAGUCAAACUUCAUUGAAAGUUGAGUCGAAGGGUAUAAUUGGGUUGUACUUGUCUAAAGCUUCCAGAGAUACCCAAUUUACCCAAAUUGAACGGCUACAUCUUAAGAUAUCAAGAUCAGAAUCACAAAGAUCAGAAUUUUAUGGCAAAAAUAUCGUAACUUUUUGCUAAGUUCAUCCAUUUGACCCGGCUGCCCAAAAUCCACAAUCCGAGGUGAACAACAUUUUAGCUUUCCGAUGGGGAAGGAGAGGGUGGGGGGUGGUUUGGGUUCAAUUGUACAUUAUACGGAAAAGUUAUGCUCGCCCAAGUUCAAUCAAAUUUUGGUAAAAAAUGUGUAAACAUUAAUCUUCGAGAUUUAAAAAAAAAAAAAACAAUAUUGAUGCUCCGUCGAAGAGGACAAUUACUGGAAUAUGUGCUACUUAUUUAUAAAACACAUUUCUAUCUUAUUCGUUGUUUAAUUCAAUUACUUCGGCUAAGUUUAAAUUAAUUGUUCUGCCUAAGCCUACAUCCAGAUAUAAUCAUUUUUAGCUUUAAAUGUUGACAUUAUCUAUACAUAGCACAGGGAAAUAACACAUAAGUAGGGGAUGACAUGUAAACAAUUUAUAAGUUCAUUGGGUCACAUGGCAACACAAUGCCUAGUGUCUUGUCACGUCAUAAAUACAGAGCCAUAGAGAAGUGUCUCGUAGCGAGUAUAGAAACCAACUCUCUCUCAACUUCAGCUUUAACUCUGUCAUGGAUUGGGCGAUUUUAGUUGGCUGACCUUCUUCGAAGUUUAUGUACUUUAAUUUAACUUAAUGGUUCAAAAAAAUCGAAAGAUAUUGGUUAAAGUUUUCUAUAUUUUUUAAUUUCAAGUCCACGGUAAUGUUAAUCUUUUACCCAAUCUGAGUUUCGCCUUGCAAACAAAAUGUACAAAAAGGAUCCCUUUUGUUGAGCUGAGAGGGUCCUGAGAGAGAAACUUUAGUUCAUUCUUUUGUGGAAAUUGUGAAGAAAAUGCAGUUCCUCCUACAUAAGGAGAUAAGGAGAUCAAUAAAGUUGAGAUUUUCAAAAAAAAUUAAUAUUGAAUGAGGGUAUUUAUGCUUUUUGAUGAUAUCAACCUGAUUUUCUUGGUAUUUUCCAGGUCUUGAAAUUGCAAAACACGUCGUGCGUGUGAACACACGAACAGAGGAAUCUAUUUGAUGUGGAAUUUGGCUGUGUGCAAACGAAUUGACUAGACAAACAUACUUAGGUGCUUUUGUUUUUGCUUUUGCUUUCACAAGAGGGUCGGACAAAGACUUGAGGAUGGACUUGCGUAUAUUUUAAGCAAAGAAAACUUAUUUCAUCUUUAUUUCUUAAGGAAGUUCACUCUCUCUCCUAAGUCAUAUAGACUUCAUUGGAUUAGUCUUGCUAGUACUCAGAUCCACAUAAAUCAGGUCCAUCACAAAAUUGCUAAUCAAAUAAAUUGUACAUGGAUCACCAAAAAAUAUAUGGAUGUGAUCACAAUGGGUCUACAGACCAUGAUCCAUGCAACUAUUUUCAUGUAAUGGUUAGUUGAUUAACCGAUAUUAGUCAUAAUGCAAACUGUUGCAAUUUGUAAAAAUUUGAAAAGCUUUAUUUCACAAUUGACAUCCAUUACUUUGUGAUGUGACAAUUGGGGGCCUUCCUAGAAUGCGUUUUGGAAAGAUCGUAGAAACAUCCACGUAAGGACCAAAUAUUUUUUUUUUUUUUUUCUUCUUUUUUUAGCAUAAUUUUCUUUCUUAUUGGAGCCAAACCCAGACUUUUGACUUAAUCAUGGUUAAAAUUGACUGCUUUUCGCCAAUGUCAGGAAUGUAAUCUAGGCGAUGACGUCUCUAAAUGAUCAAUGGAUUUGAACCUUUCUCUGGCUCCAUUGAAUGAAGUCUAGAUUUAUUAUUCACACACGCACAUACACAUAAAAUGUUACCAUGUCCUGAACAUGUCAUUAUGUCUUUUUUAAGAUGGGCACCAAGUUUGAAAUCUAAUAUUAUGCAAUUGUAUUGAAUCACUAUCCGUGCGUGCAGACAUCUAAAAUAUUUUAUCAAUGUUGAUUAUUAACUUAAUAGAAAUAUUAGGCUUCUCAUACAAGCAACUCAAUUUAGGAAACAAGAAGUGAGAGGAAAGAGGCUCGCGAAUCAAUUAGAAUUGCAUCCACGAUGGACUAGUGGUGGGCCUACUUACGUUAUGCUCACUUAGCUAGAAAAAUCUAUAUUUAUCACCUAAUUUUCUGCAUCUGUUGCAAAUGUUUUGUAUGUGUGAUGUACUUUAGAUCGGUAGUAAAGAGUAGCAUAAAUUCAUCACAUGGAACAACUUUUCAAUGCAAGGAUUCAGCCCCUACCUCUUGUUCUCCCAUUUUUCUUAUCUUUCUCUUGUUCUCUCUGAAUAGAGCAAGAGUUCCCAUUGGCAAGAUAGUAUCUCCUGCAAGGGUUAAUUUCUACACACGACUCGACUGCAAUUGGGAGUAUAAUUUUAAAUGUCAUUUUUUAGUAUCAACUUUAAAAAUAUCAAAGUUGUGACUAUUUGAGCUUUCUACACAGUAGUGGCGUGGGUACUGCAUUGAUUGACUUAAAAUAAACAUCUCAACAACUAGGCUUCUUGCAAAUAUCCAACUCAAAGCGUGAGAAAUACCUGUCCAGACCUUGACCCUUGGAUCAUGUGCAAUCAUAAUCAUUAAAAACUCAAGGGAGUUCUGUAAACCCAGGUGACUCACAGCUAUGGUUGACUCCAGGUCACGCCGAUGUGAUUGACAAUGUCAGACAAAAAAUUAAACCCCGAAACNNNNNNNNNNNNNNNNNNNNNNNNNNNNNNNNNNNNNNNNNNNNNNNNNNNNNNNNNNNNNNNNNNNNNNNNNNNNNNNNNNNNNNNNNNNNNNNNNNNNAAAAUCAAUGAAAAAGGAUCGUUGUCCAAUGACUAAUGAUAUACUUGGAAACUACAGGAGACAAGGAAAAGUAGGGCAACUAAGGCUUUGUUUGUUUGAUGGAAAAUAACUCGUUUCGUGGAAAAUGAACAAGUCAAGGAAAUCAUUCUUUGCCGUUAAAAAAAACACUUUCAAAAGUGAGGAAAAUAUUAUUUACUUUUCAGAAAGUGCAAAACAUUUUCCAUAAUUUCUUUCACAUCACUUUCUUUCACCAAACACAUUUUCUUUUUACUUUUAUGUUUUCUUUUUUUUUAAAAAGUGAUUUUUUUAAUUAUUUCUUCUUUUUCUUUUUCUUUUUUCCUUCCUUUUCUUUUUCUUCUUCCUUGGUUGGUCAUUGGCCACAGGCCAGCUCGAGCCUCGCCACAAGUCAGCGAGGCUCAAGCUCACUAGAUACUGGCUAGGCUUGAGCUCGCCAGCUUAUGGCAAGGCGAGUGAGGCUCUAUCUUACCUAAUCCAAUGAGCUCAAGUUCACCUUGCCAAAUUUGGCAAGGCCCAAGCUCGCCUAGCUUGCUGGAUCUGAUAAGGCUUGAGCUCGCCCGACCCACCAUAGGUGAGCUCGAGCUCGCCAACCUUGGCGGAGCUCAGGCUUGCUUGGAUCAACUAAGCCUUGAGCCCGCCAAUCCACGUCUUGGUUAGUCACCAAGUAGCUAGCCAUCAUCAAGGCACGUGGCGGCGGAGGAAGGAGGAGGAAGAAGGAAGAAGAAGGAAGGAAAAGAAAAAGAAGAACAGAAAAAAAAAUUAAAAAAUUAAAAAAUAUUCAAAAUUCAAAAUUAAAAAAUAUAUAAAUUAAAAUUAUUUUUAUGGUCAAUUUAGAAACAUUAAAAUUCAAAUUUUUUGGUAAUUUUUCUAACAAAAUCAAAUCAAAUACCGAACAAUGAAAAUUUCCACUUCAUUUUUAAGUUUCAAUCAAAUAUCGAAAAAUAGAGAGAUUUACCAAAAAAGUCCUAAACCUAUUACAAUUGUGCCAAUUCAGUCCUAAACUUUUUUUUUGUCCAAUUUAGUCCUAAACCUUUUAUAAUUGUGUCAAUUCAGUCCAUCCGGCCAAAAUUGGCCGGCCGGCGCUGACAUGGACGCCAGUGGGGGACAGCCGGCCGGCAAGGUAAUUUUUUAAUAUUUUUUAUUAUAUAUUUUUAUUUUUUUCGAAUUUUUAAUUCUUUUUAAUUCUUUUUUUUUUUUGGCCUUCUUCUCCUUUCUCUGGCCGGAUGCCGGCCAGAGGUGAGGGCCGGCGAGGCUAACCUCGCCGGCCACUGGCAAGGCUCGCCCCGCCGGCCACUGGCGGAGGCAAGCCUCACCCAACGACGGCGGCCUCGUCGUCGCUGGGCGAGGCCGAGCCUCGCCAGAUCUGGCGAGCUCGGCCCUCGCCGGCCACUAGCGAGGGUGAGGCCCUGCCGCGCUGAGUGGUGUAGUCGAGGAACUCGCGGAGGAGCUCGNNNNNNNNNNNNNNNNNNNNNNNNNNNNNNNNNNNNNNNNNNNNNNNNNNNNNNNNNNNNNNNNNNNNNNNNNNNNNNNNNNNNNNNNNNNNNNNNNNNNNNNNNNNNNNNNNNNNNNNNNNNNNNNNNNNNNNNNNNNNNNNNNNNNNNNNNNNNNNNNNNNNNNNNNNNNNNNNNNNNNNNNNNNNNNNNNNNNNNNNNNNNNNNNNNNNNNNNNNNNNNNNNNNNNNNNNNNNNNNNNNNNNNNNNNNNNNNNNNNNNNNNNNNNNNNNNNNNNNNNNNNNNNNNNNNNNNNNNNNNNNNNNNNNNNNNNNNNNNNNNNNNNNNNNNNNNNNNNNNNNNNNNNNNNNNNNNNNNNNNNNNNNNNNNNNNNNNNNNNNNNNNNNNNNNNNNNNNNNNNNNNNNNNNNNNNNNNNNNNNNNNNNNNNNNNNNNNNNNNNNNNNNNNNNNNNNNNNNNNNNNNNNNNNNNNNNNNNNNNNNNNNNNNNNNNNNNNNNNNNNNNNNNNNNNNNNNNNNNNNNNNNNNNNNNNNNNNNNNNNNNNNNNNNNNNNNNNNNNNNNNNNNNNNNNNNNNNNNNNNNNNNNNNNNNNNNNNNNNNNNNNNNNNNNNNNNNNNNNNNNNNNNNNNNNNNNNNNNNNNNNNNNNNNNNNNNNNNNNNNNNNNNNNNNNNNNNNNNNNNNNNNNNNNNNNNNNNNNNNNNNNNNNNNNNNNNNNNNNNNNNNNNNNNNNNNNNNNNNNNNNNNNNNNNNNNNNNNNNNNNNNNNNNNNNNNNNNNNNNNNNNNNNNNNNNNNNNNNNNNNNNNNNNNNNNNNNNNNNNNNNNNNNNNNNNNNNNNNNNNNNNNNNNNNNNNNNNNNNNNNNNNNNNNNNNNNNNNNNNNNNNNNNNNNNNNNNNNNNNNNNNNNNNNNNNNNNNNNNNNNNNNNNNNNNNNNNNNNNNNNNNNNNNNNNNNNNNNNNNNNNNNNNNNNNNNNNNNNNNNNNNNNNNNNNNNNNNNNNNNNNNNNNNNNNNNNNNNNNNNNNNNNNNNNNNNNNNNNNNNNNNNNNNNNNNNNNNNNNNNNNNNNNNNNNNNNNNNNNNNNNNNNNNNNNNNNNNNNNNNNNNNNNNNNNNNNNNNNNNNNNNNNNNNNNNNNNNNNNNNNNNNNNNNNNNNNNNNNNNNNNNNNNNNNNNNNNNNNNNNNNNNNNNNNNNNNNNNNNNNNNNNNNNNNNNNNNNNNNNNNNNNNNNNNNNNNNNNNNNNNNNNNNNNNNNNNNNNNNNNNNNNNNNNNNNNNNNNNNNNNNNNNNNNNNNNNNNNNNNNNNNNNNNNNNNNNNNNNNNNNNNNNNNNNNNNNNNNNNNNNNNNNNNNNNNNNNNNNNNNNNNNNNNNNNNNNNNNNNNNNNNNNNNNNNNNNNNNNNNNNNNNNNNNNNNNNNNNNNNNNNNNNNNNNNNNNNNNNNNNNNNNNNNNNNNNNNNNNNNNNNNNNNNNNNNNNNNNNNNNNNNNNNNNNNNNNNNNNNNNNNNNNNNNNNNNNNNNNNNNNNNNNNNNNNNNNNNNNNNNNNNNNNNNNNNNNNNNNNNNNNNNNNNNNNNNNNNNNNNNNNNNNNNNNNNNNNNNNNNNNNNNNNNNNNNNNNNNNNNNNNNNNNNNNNNNNNNNNNNNNNNNNNNNNNNNNNNNNNNNNNNNNNNNNNNNNNNNNNNNNNNNNNNNNNNNNNNNNNNNNNNNNNNNNNNNNNNNNNNNNNNNNNNNNNNNNNNNNNNNNNNNNNNNNNNNNNNNNNNNNNNNNNNNNNNNNNNNNNNNNNNNNNNNNNNNNNNNNNNNNNNNNNNNNNNNNNNNNNNNNNNNNNNNNNNNNNNNNNNNNNNNNNNNNNNNNNNNNNNNNNNNNNNNNNNNNNNNNNNNNNNNNNNNNNNNNNNNNNNNNNNNNNNNNNNNNNNNNNNNNNNNNNNNNNNNNNNNNNNNNNNNNNNNNNNNNNNNNNNNNNNNNNNNNNNNNNNNNNNNNNNNNNNNNNNNNNNNNNNNNNNNNNNNNNNNNNNNNNNNNNNNNNNNNNNNNNNNNNNNNNNNNNNNNNNNNNNNNNNNNNNNNNNNNNNNNNNNNNNNNNNNNNNNNNNNNNNNNNNNNNNNNNNNNNNNNNNNNNNNNNNNNNNNNNNNNNNNNNNNNNNNNNNNNNNNNNNNNNNNNNNNNNNNNNNNNNNNNNNNNNNNNNNNNNNNNNNNNNNNNNNNNNNNNNNNNNNNNNNNNNNNNNNNNNNNNNNNNNNNNNNNNNNNNNNNNNNNNNNNNNNNNNNNNNNNNNNNNNNNNNNNNNNNNNNNNNNNNNNNNNNNNNNNNNNNNNNNNNNNNNNNNNNNNNNNNNNNNNNNNNNNNNNNNNNNNNNNNNNNNNNNNNNNNNNNNNNNNNNNNNNNNNNNNNNNNNNNNNNNNNNNNNNNNNNNNNNNNNNNNNNNNNNNNNNNNNNNNNNNNNNNNNNNNNNNNNNNNNNNNNNNNNNNNNNNNNNNNNNNNNNNNNNNNNNNNNNNNNNNNNNNNNNNNNNNNNNNNNNNNNNNNNNNNNNNNNNNNNNNNNNNNNNNNNNNNNNNNNNNNNNNNNNNNNNNNNNNNNNNNNNNNNNNNNNNNNNNNNNNNNNNNNNNNNNNNNNNNNNNNNNNNNNNNNNNNNNNNNNAUUCAAUGCUUUCUCUUUUGCCUUCACAACAGGGUCAGACAAAGACUUGACGAUGGACUUGUGUAUGUUCUAAGCAAAGACAAAAGGUCAAAAAUUUGUUCUUAAUUCGAACUAUGCAAUUCAAUCAUGGCGUGAAUCCUACAAUCCCAAUCAAGAUAUUUUUCAUAGUGCAUUUCUAUUUGGACAUACACAGAAUAAUAAUAACAUAAGAUGAUUUAAGGGGAUGAUUAAAAAAAAAAACAGAUUAUUUCAAUUGGCACAUUAGGUCCACUCAAAUUUACAAAGCAAGCAUAAUGGAUCUCUUCCUUCAUUUCUAGGCUAGAAAAAGCAUUGAUUUUGUUCUGGUAAUUAAAUUAAAAAAGAAAAAAAAAAGAAUUAACUUUUCUCGGCUGGAGCCAAAUUCCAUUCUACUUUUGCUAAGCCAAACAAAGCAGAUCUUCUAACUUUCAAUCUAGAUUCGCGCUAAUCAGCGUGAUCAAUUGAUUCUUACCUUUAUUUCACUUACUACGCUUGAUGUACCACUAAAAUGCCAAUUGUUUAUGUUUGGUGUUCACACAAUCUUAAAUUUUUCAAUUAGAAUUUUGUUCAUGACCACCCCCUCCCCAAAAAAAAAAGAUCUAGCUCAUUAAUAUUCUAUUUGAAAGGCCCACAAUACUAAUCAAGUUUUUAUUAUUUUGUUCAGUAAAAUAUUUGAUAGUAACAAAAAAAUAAAGGGUGAGUUAUUUAAGAUUUGUAAUUUACAUAUAUAAUUACAAAAUGCAAAGGAUAAUAUUUGAACUUAUUGAGAUAAAGCUUGAACUCAUUUUAUAACGGUGAUUGUAUCGAGUCAGACUUGAGCUUGAGCUUGAUAUCUUGAUUUUUUUUUGGUCAAGCUCCAACUAGAAAUUGAUUUCUCUAUAACUCGAGUGGAGUUUCAAGCGAUCUAACAUUUGAUAGGAGUUGAGCUUGAGCUUCGCACUAACAGAUGCAUCUGAACAUUGGUAGGUUAGAGUGCGAAGCAAUGGUACUGAAAAGAAUAUCAAUAGUCGUUAAAACCAUAAAUAAAAAUUCAUGUCAUUCUAGAACUAUGUAGGGGUUGAAAGACAAGCCCAUGGAAAGAAAUAUGAACAUGCUGGCGACUCUCGAAUAUUUGUGCUUAAUUGUUUCUACGAGUAAAAAAAAAAAAAAAAAACAUCUCAGUAAUAAAAAACUUUAGCUCAGAAUAUACAAGAAGGAUAAUUAUUGCGUGAAAACUCAUUAAGAGGAAGUCCGCUGACAUAAUGCAACUCUGGCUUCACAACGCUAUCUUCUUCUGAACUGAAGCACUUAAACUGUCUUAGAACAUCAACUUUUAACGUAACCCCACUUUGUCAUUCAAAUCUCCACGAGCUCUUCAAAGUAAAAAGGCAUGCUGCCUGAUACCCUCAAUAACAAAUUGAAAGUAAAAGUGAUUGUUUACCGGACAGACCAGACCAGUCAUGUAUGAUUGUUUAGGACUGGGCAAUGGGCCAUGUCAGCCGUGUGGUCCAGACCCGUUGUGCUCCUAGGCCAAAUCACGCUCAUGGUCCCUAAUUAGCCGAUCCUGGCCUGACAAAUUUUUGAUGGACCAGUUGAGGCCACAUGGGCCCAACCUUAAGGAACUUUGGGGCUCCAAAAAUACAGUCAUUGGACAGUCACUUAUCUAGUGACCCAAUCCGGCCCAACGAUGGGCUACUCACUUGGUCAGGGAAUGGCCGGAAGGCCCCCAAUAGUUGAUUCGGAUUUUCAUUAAUUUUCCUCAAUUACUUUGUUUAUUAUUCAUAUUUUUUUUGGUUUAAAAAAAAUCAUUAAAUUAAAAACAACCCAAGCUCGAGCCAAUAGUGCCUUGGGCCGACCUAGUGUCCACUCCUACUGGCAAUUGGAGUUCGGGUCAGCAAUUUAAAGGCAAAGCGAGGGAAGACGUGGUGGAUAGUCCUAAAACCCUAUCGGCAACUGUAUUUACUUUUGCGAUAGGAAGUAAGAAUGUAAAGGAGGAGGUGGUCACAAAUCCUCAAAAUUCUCUCCCAAAAUCCCUCGGGCUUCUCCAUCCAAAUCCUCAGUUUAAAGAAGCAGAAGUAGCAGCAGAAGAAGAAGAAAAUCCAUCGGAAUGUCGGAAUGUCAGCAUCAACAAUGAACAAUAUGGUUUAGCAAUCGUGGGCAUCAAAUUCAGUGCAACUCGAAUUGGCAGUCAUGGCAACGAGAAACCUCUACGGUCUUUUCUUCUUGAAGUACAAAUCACAGGAUCUCUUUACAACCUCUAGCCAUGGUUCCGAAAGUUUAACAAAGAAAGUCUUUGAUACAAACUUCUCCAUAUUUCCAUAUGGAGAAAGAAUGAAACUUAAGCUUUUUGAAGGAAAUAUAGCUCUUAUGAUAUUUCUUAAGUACUUGAAGUUGUGAAGGACAAAAAAAAGUAAUAAAAGAAAUUUUUGACUAGGAACUAGCCAGAUUUGUCCCAUCUGCAAAAGUUGGUGCCUUUACUUGUCUCUCUUAAAAGUAGAGGUUAUGAUUGUCCUAAAAUGUAUAGUUAAUACCUCUUAGCAGGAAAAGCAUGUUAUACAUAAGACGUUGUGUAAGUAUAUGUUGUUUAUAGGAUGGAGGGGCCUAUCACCAUCUUCUGUUACCAUCUAAGAAAAUGUUGUCCAUGGUCACCUGCAACUUUAUAAAACUAAAAGAACUCUUUGCUGUUGUAAUUAUGGUUAUAAUUAUGGUUAAUAGAUCAACGAAAGUCAAUAAAUUAAUAUACAUCUUUUCUGUUCACGUAUCUCUUUUGGAUUCAUGAAUUUCCUAAUCUUUUAUGUUCACGUAUUUAUUGAGUUAAUGAAUUUCCUAGAUUCAUGUAUCUUUUAGUUCAUGUAUUUAUUGAGUUCAUGAAUCUCUUGAAUUCACGUAUCUUCGGAUUCAUAAAUCUCUUAGAUUCACGUAUCUCUUUAUUCAUGAAUCUCGUGGAUACACACGUCUAUUUAAUUCAUAUAUCUCUGUAGUAUAUGAACUAAAAAGCUCUAUAAAUAGAUAUGAGCAUAGAGCUUCAUUAGAGUUUUUGGUUUUUGGUUUUGGUUUUUCUGAAUCGAUUUCAAAAAGGCUUUGAUAUACUUUUCUACUCUUCUAUUUUAUCUGGAUGUGCUGGUUCAAUUGAACGGUUCGACAGAGUCCUGUUUGCAUAGUGUUAAUCCAAACAGGUUCGAUGUAUUGUAUCUUGGAAGGCAUAGUUCGUGAAUCUGCGGGGCACCUUUGGCAGGAACUAAUCGCCUUAAGGAGAUUCGAUUAUCCGUACAUCACCUCCAAUUUUAUGUUAUUUUUCCAGUGAUAUCUUAUUUUAUUCUUUUCCAAGAUUUAUAAGUUUACAUAAAAAGAAUGAUAUUGUAUAACUAUUAUCAUCUUCUUUAUAUUGAUGUUCUGAUUACAACAAAUAGUGUGUAUUCUUUAGAUAUAAUUUCCAACAUUUGCUCCUUCCUUCCGAGACUCCCAUAGCCCCUAACUUAAUUUUCCAUCACUGUCAUUAGGAAAGCAACUGUUUGCCUAUGCAUGUGACAAUCACAAUCACCGAUCCUCAUCUCUCUCCUCCUCUUAGUUCUCAUUGUCAUGACUCGUGGAGAGAAAACGGAUUUAGAAUUAACCAACAGUCCUCAAUCAGCGUAAGUUCUCCUAGGCUCUUACUUUGCACGAUAUUGGGAAGUCACUUCAUUUUAUUAACCUAUCAAAACUGAGUCACCAGUAGCUACUAAGACUAGUUAGAGCCAAGUGAGAUGUAGGAAUAUACCUCACAUCCUACACAAUCAAAGAUCUAAGUACGAAGACUUAAUUACACUAAUUAUCCAAUUAAUAUUAUUUCCGUAUCUAAACUUGAUUAUUUGUCAACCAACUGUCACAUGCAAGUUUUUUUUUUUUUUUUUAUAUAUCCAAUUAUGAAUUCUAAUGUUCUUAUUUACUAAAUGUACAUGCAACAUUUUUGCAUUUAUUAUGAUCCUAAAAUACAAUCUCACCAUUCAACUAAAAUGAGGAAAUCACCACAUUGAAGCAAUAUAAAAGAAUCAUUUCAUCAAAGAUAGUAAUAAAAGAAAGACUAAAAGAACAAAAAAAAAAAAAAAGGCAAUAAAAUAAUCCGAUGCGAGCUGAGUAAAGAAUAUAAUAUGACAUUGUUAUUGAGUAUCCAAACAACAACCCCAUGAGUUAAAUUCAAAACAAAUCCAAUUUCUUGAGAAAAUGCUAAUCUAUCUAAACCCAAGAUAUCCAUUAAAAUCCCUAAACUAUAUGUAUACCAACUAUGGUCCAGCCUAAGGACCUUAAAAAAAAAAAAGCCGUGGUUAUCGGAGCCCCCGUUCCACGUAAAUAAAAUGGAAGGGUUAACCGCGGGGGGAUUUGUAACCAAAUUUUGGAAACACCCCUCGGCUUGAUCCUAGCUCUGCUGCACUGGCCUCUCGACGACUGCCAGUCCAGUAUCUUGGAAGUGAUGGCAGUAGGAUAUGAAACUAACUAUAAUAUUAAAAUCUACAACCAAAUGAAAGCCUGUUUUUCUAAUCAUUUUCGAAUUCUUUGUAUUAGAAAUUUUUUUUUUUUUAAUUGGGCCGGCUUGUACGAAAGCUUGAUCUCUAGGUGGAGUGGGUUAGAAUUUAAGAAAACAUGUAGGCCCUUGUAAACGAAAUGGGCUUGCUUGCUAAAGCCCAACCUGCGUAUAGCCGAAACAAAGUCCAGAUCUAUCAGACCAAAUUAGGCUCAUAUUCACCAAACCAAGCAAAGCCCAAUUUCAUUAAGCUAAUAAAACCCAAAGCUCAUUAAGCCUAAUUAAGCCUAUUUUUUUAUUCUCUAUUUUUUUCUCUUUUCUUCUCCCUUUUUUCAAUUUUAUUUUAUGCACUAUGUCUCCUCACUUUGAAUUCGGUGCUCUAAGCCAAAGAAGCUGUGGAAAUAGAAGUUGCCAAAAUGCCGUGACUGCUCAAAAUUCGUAAUUGGAAAUCGCAAACCCACCUGAUGAAUUGUUCUAUAAAUGCCGCAUCCCCAUAUGAGAAUGAGACUAUUGCAAGGAUUAACUACAAUAGCUGGAUGAUAGGCCACUCUCAGAAUCUGCAGUUAAAAUUCUGACUGGAGGUGCACAACCCUAGUCUUGGGGAGAGAUGAUAGAAUUCGACGAAUGAAGAGAAUUUCUAUGGGGUCUAUUCUCGGCAUCAAAGACUGAUGGCCUUGCCUUGGAAGCAAUGGACUUUAGAAGCGAGUCAGUUAUAGUUGGCUUUUUCCCAUGCUGACCUCUGCUAUCGAGAAGAUCGUCAACAGCUUGAAGCUGUGCAUCUGAAAGCAGAGCUUGAAGAUCCACUUUGCUGAAUCCUUCUAUCAUAUGAGCUAUAGCAUCAAAGUCCACAUCACUGGCCAAAGGAAGCUGCACAAGGGCAUUAAAGCAUACACUUAGCAAAACUUCAACAUUGCCUGAUGGUUGCCAUUUUCGCUGACUGAUCAUACAGAAACGGAGAAAUAUAAUUAAUUGAAUCCACCCAAUAUCUUCCUAAUUAGUGAAAAGAAAAGAAAAGGAGAGGAUGGUGAUGUCUCAGAAAGGUUAUACUAAAUGAUACCCAAAGGUAAGUCUUAGUCCCGUCUCAUGGAUUUUCAGCUAUAAAAGCCUUUCUCAUUUUAUUUUUUUUCUGAGCAUCAUUGGUAGAUGUUAAAGCUACCAGUCUCAAGGUCCGAGGUUGAAAGUGAUUUACUACUGAACAUCUAAACUUUACCUGAGCCUCACCUGAGCAUGUUGCAGAUUCAACCCACAACGCCUUUUACAAUGUUCUCUUGUAAUUGACAAUGUUUAGGGUGAUUUGGGGUGCAAGGACUUUUAGAGAACUCCACGGAGAAGGGGUUUUAACUUUUAACUCAACGUGUUUCGCCAAAUGUACUCUGUCAGAUGCCAUAAGUUCUAAACAGGAUCUUAGCUGCUUAAAUCGACUAUGUUUCUAACUCUUUUUGUUUGUUUUAAGCAAUUUCCUGUUCAUAUGAAAUCUCUCCUAUGCAUCUUUCUAGAAAAAAGUAGGAUUGUGGUCAUAUAGUUCUUUAACAAGCAAUCCCAUAAAUUUCAAUAUGUGCAACCUGUUUCAGACCAUGUAAAAAAUGAAAUGCUAAAAGCAAAAAAACUGGCAUAUGGAUGGAAGCUAAGGCCCUGUUUGAUAAAUUUUGUUUCUAUUCCUCAGAAUAACUAUUUCUAUUCUUUUGUUCUAGGGAAUAAGAAAAGAACAGAAACCUGUUUAGUAAAAUUUUUGUUCCCAUGAAACAAAAAAUCUAUUUUUUUUUUUUUGUUCUCGAGAAUAGAUUUGAAAUAGAAGUAAAAGUAGAAAAAACAAACUUCUUGUUCUCGGGAACAAUUUCUUAAAUUUAUUUUUUUCCUCUCUUAUCUCUUCUUCUCUUUCUUUUCUGCUUCUUCUUCUUCUUCAUUUUGGCCGGUUGCUGGCCAUGGCUGGCGACCUCGCCGGAGCGUCGCCGACCCUUGGAGACGUUGAGCCACGGCGAGGCUCGUCGGCUUGAGUUUUGCCAUGGCUGGGCGAGGCUGGCCUUGCUAGGCCACCUCUAGGAUGGUGUCGCUUGGCAGUGGCCCGACAAGGUCGAGCCUCGCUGAUAGCUAGGUGAGCUCGGCCUCGCUAGGUUUGGGUGACGUCUACCUCUGUCACGCCCCAAUUCUCGGGGACGCGCCCAUCCUUCGACUUGGUCGAUUUUCUUAGUGUGAUAUCCCAGGACUAUGUAUCGCAGACCCUUUCAUUUUUAAUAUGCAUGCGGAAGUAGUUAUAAAUCCCCAGACAAUAAAAUGAUGGGAUAGACAAGCAAGGCCAUAUUUUUCAUAUUGAAAUCCACAACCAUACUUUUAUACAGAGCAUAAUUCGAAGAGCUUCAGAAAACUAAUCACAACUUUUUAGUCUCAGUCUAUCCACAUAUAUACAGGGUUCACAAAAGAGGAUGGGAUUUCAGUCCUCAUCCAGAUAGACAAGAUCAAACUGAUCCUCCUUCAAUUCUUCUCCACUCAGCUCGUUUCUUUUAAACUCUUCAUCAUCUUCUUUAAGCUCAUUCUCGGCUCUAGAUGCUGGCUCAUCCUCACGUGAUCUGGGGGCCUGAAAUAUUAUCCCACAACCGGGAUGAGACUACGUCUCAGCAAGUUCUACCCCACUAAGACUCGAUUAGGAAACCAAUACGCUAUCCAGGCUGCCUAUGCACACACGGGUCAGAGGACUUACCUUGGCCUCAGAUUCCACCUGCAUAUUAGUACAGUUCAAUAGGCACCCAAGCAAUCACAUCACAGAUCGACAUCUUGAUCAAUCGACCUAGUCAAUUACUUGUUAAUCGAACCAUCCCAAGGUCAUUUCCAUUCAAUCAAUCAAUUCACGAAAUUAGAUUAAAGCAAUGAUCAAUCCACUUAGUCGGUUACAUAUCAAACGGACCAUUCUUGGUCAUUUCAAUCAAUACUGUCCAUUCUCUAAAAUAACCCAUCGGGUUAUCAAGCCAGUAAUUUAUACGAUUCAAUCUCCGAGAUGACACACUAAGUCACUGAGUCAUUAUAACAUACUAUUCAUUCUCCAAGAUAACGUAUUGAGUUACCGAGCUAGUAUAUUAUAAUAUUCAUUCUCCGAGAUGACAUAUAGAGUCACCGAGUAUAUUCAUCAUAACGUACAUUCUCCAAGAUAACAUGUCGAGCCACCGAGCUGUUAUGGCAUGUCGUCCAUUCUCCAAGAUGAUCUAUAGAAUCACCGAGCCGACAUUUAAUACAGUCCAUUCUCCAACAUGACUUAUAGGGUCAUCGAGCCGGUAUACAAGCAAUUCUUUCUCAAAAUGACAUGAGAGUCAUCGAGCUGUAAUAGUAUAACGUCCAUUCUCCAGAUGACAUACGAAUCAUCCAGCCGUUAUAGUAUUUUUUUUGUUCCGAAGACACAAUCAAUUUCACCCUUUUCAUCAUAUUUGAUAAAAGUACACGUGUGUGGGCACACGGUCGGCCUUAGCCAAAAUACAAUAAUUUCCUUUUUAUUCACUCACUCCCUUCAGCAGUACAAAAAUAGAUUUUUGACACUGUAGACCGACGCCCGGUAAUUUUCCACUCAAUUACCAAGGUUAUUCAAUUUCUGAAAUAAACAGCCACAACUACUAUUUGCACUCAAUUUGCACAACUAGGUACUCAAUUAAAUAAACAUAGAGCACCACUGAAAUCAGCACGAAAUUCCGAUCGUCGGCUAUCCCAGCCUAAUUUCCAGUAAUUAAAUAAUUAAUUAAUUAAUUUCAAAAAUUAAUAAUUAAAUACUAAAAAUCCAAUUUAUGCCCGUAUUGCCUAAUUGAAGCCCAAUAAGGGUCGGGACAAAUCCCGAGAUGCAUUCAAUAAAUAGUAUAGGCAGCUCUCUAGCUAAGUACACUAACCACCUAACUAAUAUGCAAUGCAAUUAACUAAUAAUCACUAAUCCAUUCUAGUCUAACCACCUAAUUGCACUUAAUUAAAUCUAAUCAACCCUUAAGCAUCAUUAGUCUACUAAGAAAGGAUUAGUGAGAUUACUCACUUGAUUUGCGAAGAACAGAACACCGCGACGGCGGCCGAACUUGGGCCCGCGACAAACUUGGGCCGGGCCAAUAAACUUUACAAGCCCAUAGAAAUUUCUGGGCUUGGGCCUGCUGGAAAUCCUAUCUUCGCUGAAGCUGGGCCGGGCUUCAAGACUGAAGACUUGGGCUGCUAUGGGAAUUCUUUUGUGGGUUGAACGUUUGAGGAUGCUGAGCCAAAUCCUUGCGCCCUCGUGGACGAUGAGGCUGCUGGGCCAAUAGGCUGAGGAAAUGAAGACGGCUGAAGACACGUGAUGGAGGAAGGCUGGCAGGGCAAAGGACGCUCGCCGGUGGGGACGAACGUUGCAGCAAGCGGCUGGGCUCUGGUCUUCGUAGCUGGGAGUCAACACACGGCCAGGGGAUGAAGCGGAUGAGUGGUAGACGGGCUCGCUGGUGGAGCGGUUUUUGCUGUGGACUGCUUCAAUCGGGCUGAGGGCAGACGGAAGACACGCAGAUGGAAGCUCGUUCGGUGGGCGUGUGGGGAAGGCACCGACUGGAGGCUCACGGCCAAAUGGCAGCAAAACAAAGCUGCUCGAUCAACCACUGAGUUUCGGUGGGCUUGCUGUUGUUGACUGAAGGAGUUCAGGCCAUGGAUGCGUGGAGUUGUGCGUGGAUGGAGAGAUCGUGAGCUUCAACGGCAGAGAAUUGGAGGAGCACGUGGGUUCUUCGGGCUUGCUGCUGGCAAUUCGGCAAAGGGGAAGAACGAUCAUGGGCGUGGGGAAUUGAGCUGGCCAGUUCACUCGGUGAGGAAGCAGAACCAAGACGAAGCAGUAGUUAAUCUUUGUUGCUGUGGGUGCGCGAAUUCCUGGGAAGAAAGAAUUGGCUGCACGAUCUGAUGGGGGGAGAGGGGUGAGAGAGAGAAUAGAUAUGAAGGAUGAGGGGCCCUUUGCUUUUAAUUCUCACACAAAUAUCUCCCAAAAACCAUUCUUAGCCAUGUAUAGUUUCCUUGGCUCACAAUGGACACUCAUGCACUCUUCUAGAAGCCAAAAUGGUCCAAAUGUUGUGGCUUGGUGGGGGUACACGAAUUUAGAGGAGGAUGGACUCAAUUGUACAUCAAUUCUCUCUUGAUUUACUUUCAAUUGAUUCCCAUAAUUUCAGUUGGUACUUAAAUGCCUCAAUUGAUCAUUUUCCUCGUCCAAGAACCCAUAUUGCAUCUCAAUUUUGCCUCCAAAACUAAUCCUCGGCUUGUUCUGCACAAAAACGGCCCUGCGAUGACUUUUCCUCAAAAAGUCUCGGUUGUCAGAAAAAUCUUCUGAGACUGAGUCAAUACUUUUAGAAUUUAUUGUGACAUGAUGGAAACUUCGAUUUCCAAAAUCGGACUUGAAUUCGCGGUUAAUUUCCAUUUGGCGCUUUUUAGCGUGACCUAAACUAUCGGGUAGUUUUCAGAACUUUUUAGGGCAAAUGACCCAUGGCCGAUUUUCUUCGAGCCAUUAUGAACCCACUCGACUCAAUGGGGACUCUCGAUUGUCGUGAAAAUCUCAAGGAUUCAAUUACGGACACAGGAUACCAAAACGAUAGUAAAAUCAAAUUUGUGUCGGUCAAUGAGAAUUUCCCAAUUUAGUGGAGUCACUCACGAUCGGCUAAACAUCUCAGUCGAACAGAUCUAUCUCUAAUCUCAAAUCGAUUUUCUUAACUGUGUCGUAAUGGCCUCUGAAGACAAUCACGGUCAAGAAGCCGAUUUUUAGUCGAAUUUUUUAGUCUAUUUGCCUUAAAGUCCUUAAUAGCUUCCCCGAAUAGUCUAGUUAUCUCGAGAGUGAUCAGCUCUAAGAACAACUCUAUAGGCGUGUCAAUGAAAUGCCCGAUUAAUUCAAUAGAAAAUAGAUCUGAAAAUUCGGGAUGUCACAACUCUUCCCCUCUUAUAAAAAUUUCGUCCUCAAAAUUUAAACCUUACAUACUUUGAUAAAAAAGGUGGGGGUACAAUUCUCUCAUCGACUCUUCAGUUUCCUAGGUCGCGUCUUCUGUACCGUGGUGUUGUCAGACCACUUUGAACAACGGAAUGGUCUUUGUACACAGAACUUGCUCUUUACGAUCGACGAUCUGGACCAGGCUUUCAACGUAUGACACAUGGUCAUCCACGUCCAAUUCCUUAAAAUUGAGCACAUGGGUCGGGUCAGGCUCGUACUUCCCUAACAUCGACACGUGAAAGACGUCAUGCACUUGCGCCAUUCUUGGCGGCAAUGCAAGACGAUACGUUAGGUUCCCAAUUCUUUCAAGAAUCUCAAACGGACCUACGUACCUCGGACUCAGUUUGCCUUUCUUACCAAAAUGCGAAGUUCCUCUCAUUGGUGACACUUUCAGAAAAACUUGAUCACCAACUUGGAAUUCCAAAGACCUUGGAUGCUUAUCUGCAUAACUUUUCUGCCUGCUUUGCGCUGUCUUUAAUUUGCAUCUGAUCACCGUCACGGCAUCUACUGACUGCUGAACCAACUCUAGGCUUGUGAUUUUUCUUUCCCUGACUUCGUCCCAACACACUGGAGUCCUACAUGCUCUACCAUACAAUGCUUCAAAUGGAGCCAUCUAGAUGCUCUGCUGAUAACUGUUAUUGUAAGCGAAUUCCACCAGAUGAAGCCGAUCUUCUCAACUUCCUUUGAAAUCUAUUACAUAAGCUCUCAGCAUGUCCUCGAGAGUUUGAAUUGUCCUCUCAGACUGGCCAUCCGUCUGAGGAUGAUACGCCGUACUAUACUGAAGUUUUGUACUUAGCGCACUCUGCAAGCUCUUCCAAAAAGCAGCAGUAAAUCUCGGGUCUCUAUCUGACGUUAUCGUAACUGGCACUCCAUGCAUACGAACCACCUGACGCACAUACAGGUCUGCGUGUCUAUCCAGACUCAGGUCCUUUUGAACUGCAAUGAAGUGAGCCGACUUCGUCAAUCUAUCAACCACUACCCAAAUUGAAUCAUUCCAUCUUUGACUCCUUGGUAGUCCAGUCACGAAGUCCAUCGUGAUAUGCUCCCACUUCCAUUUUGGGAUCGUGAGAGGUUGCAGAAGUCCUCCUGACUUGUAAUGUUGGGCCUUUACUUGUUGACAUGUCAAACCUUUGGCGACAUGCUUGGCAAUGUCCGCCUUCAUACCUGGCCACCAAUAGUGUUGAUGCAGAUUCUGAUACAUUUUAGUACUUCCAGGAUGAAUGCUGUAACUACUACGAUGUGCUUCAGAUAAAAUUUCUUCUCUAAGCUCCACGAGCCAAACCUUUUUAUACAUAUGGUAUUAAAGUUAUACCUAAGCAAACCCGUCAAGUACAACUAUAGUCAGAGAUUCAUCUUUCUACCACUUUAUUACAACAACAAAAAUUUUUACAACCUUCACUCAAAAUUCUGCUGCGCUACUCUGAUAAAAACACCUCAAAAACAUUCUUCCAUUGCUCGGUGCCUAAUUGGUCCAUUCUUGUUCCUUGCGUCGUUCUAGUGGUGUUCUAUCUGCGGUGCUUUCCCUUUGUCCGAUCCUCUGGUGAUGGCGUACACUCUUCCCUGCUCUGGGGAUCUGUUCCGCAUAGCCAUACCUGUAAUCGCGUCAGGCACAGCUUCUGCCUGACCUUGUGUGAUGGCAUACACUGUGCCCUGAACUGGUGGUCUCAGCUGACCUCCCUGUGGCACGUUUUGAGGGGCGUACCCUCUAAUCUAUCCCACUAGCGGCGGUGACGGCAAUGGUAACUACAGUUGUCCUCUUAGCUUCCUUGGACAAUCUCUAGCCAGGUGGCCUGGCUGACCACACUCGUAACAAGCACCCAUCAUUCGAAGGCACUGGUUCGGUCCAUGUCACCUUCCACAAGCGCGACAUAAAUCAUUCCUGGUUGGCACUGGCUUGCCAACUCCUCCUCUCCUAUCAGGCAAAAUCGGGAAUCUAUUCUCAGGCAUGGCCUCUUCCCAUGGUGAAUACUCUCUCUGUGCCAGCUGAACCUCGAUCCAGAUGAGGCAGCUUGCUCAUUCAAUCCUCGCUCUAUCAUCUGAGCUCGACGAUAAACUUCUCUAUAAUCCUUCAAGUCCCAAGGUAACAAAGGUUGUUUCAAUUCAGUACGAAGACCACUUUUGAAUUUCCGAGCUUUCUCUUCAGGGUCUUCUAUAAGUUUAGGAGCAUAUUGUGACAGUUCUGCGAACUUGACCCCAUAUUGGUCAACUGUCAUGCUCCCUUGGCGGAGACGGUGGAACUCAUCUAUCUUUUGUUCCUGAGCAGUACUCGAAAAAGUACUGAUCAUUAAAGGCUCUGAGGAAGGUGUCCCACACCUGGACCACACCUUCCGGGAACACUGUAUCCUUGGCAGCUCUCCACCAUAUAUUGGCGUUACCUUGAAGUUGAUACACAGCUAGUAACACCUUUUCCUCCUCAUUGCACAUCAGAAGUGCAAAUGCCUUCUCCAAAUCCUCUACCCACAGAGACGCGAGCUUAGGGUCUCCGGUACCAAUGAAUCUUGGCGGAUUCAUUUUUAAGAACUGAUCCACUAACUGGUGAAUCGGCCUCCCAGCGGCCACAACUCCUGGUAGUAUUUCAGCAAGGGCGACGGCAGGUGCAACUGCAGGUGCGGAGACAGAGGCGGCUUGAGCAGUAGCGGCAGUUGCGGCAGUGGCAGCGGCCUGAGCAGCGGCUUCAACUAUAGCGGCUUGUUGAUCCAUUCUCACACCCAUUGCUUCCAGAACACGCAAGAUCCCAUCCAACAUGGGAUCAUUAGGGGCUGCUACCCUGGCAUCUACGACAGGUGGAAUCACUCCACUCGUGCUAGCCUGUGCUAGCGCUCGACCACGUUCGCCUCGAGUCCCGACACGAGUCGGAGCUUUACCCCGAACAACGGCCCUACUGGUCCUCUUAACAGGAGUCCUCGACUCCUGAUCGCUCGUAGUGUUGUUUUAAAUCUACCAACACCUGUUUUCAAUUCAACACCGAAUUAGAAACAGAGCAAUCCAAACAACAAGCAAUUUUAGCAUCCAGCUAACACAGACAUGCACAAGCAUCAAUUUAAAGGCCUUUCUUGUUACUAUCCCAAGACUCAUCACUCCUUAUCACUCCAAUCUUAAACUUCGCUCUGAUACCACAAAAAGGGGAUGUCACGCCCCAAUUCUCGGGGACGCACCCAUCCUUCUACUUGGUCGAUUUUCUUAGUGCGAUAUCCCAGGAUUAUGUAUCGCCAACCCUUUUCAUUUUUAAUAUGCAUGCGAAAGCAGUUAUAAAUCCCCAGACAAUAAAACGAUGGGAUAGACAAGCAAUGCCAUAUUUUUCAUAAUGAAUUCCACAACCAUACUUUCAUACAAAGCAUAAUUCAAAGAGCUUCACAAAACUAACCACAACUUUUUAGUCUCAGUCUAUCCACAUAUAUACAGGGUUCACAAAAGAGGAUGGGAUCUCAGUCCUCAUCCAUAUAGUCAAGAUCAAAAUGAUAAAUUCUUCUCCACUCAGCUCGUUUUUUUAAACUCUUCAUCAUCUUCUUUAAGCUCAUCCUCGGCUCUAGAUGCCGGCUCAUCCUCACGUGAUCUAGGGGCCUGAAAUAUUAUCCCACAACCAGGAUGAAAUUACGUCUCAGUAAGGUCUACCCUACUAAGACUUGAUUAGGAAACCAAUACGCUAUCCAGGCUGUCUAUGCACACACGGGUCAAAGGACUUACCUUGGCCUCAGAUUCCACCUGCAUAUUAGUACAGUUCAAUAGGCACCCAAGCAAUCACAUCACAUAUCGACAUCUCGAUCAAUCGACCUAGUCGAUUACUUGUUAAUCGGACCAUCCCAAGGUCAUUUCCAUUCAAUCAUUCAAUUCAUGAAAUCAGAUUAAAGCAAAGAUCAAUCCACUUAGUCGGUUACAUAUCAAACGGACCAUUCUUGGUCAUUUCAGUCAAUACUGUCCAUUCUCUAAAAUAACCCAUCGGGUUAUCAAGCCAGUAAUUUAUACGAUUCAAUCUCUGAGAUGACACACUAAGUCACCGAGUCAUUAUAACAUACUAUUCAUUCUCCAAGAUAACGUAUUGAGUUACCGAGCUAGUAUAUUAUAAUAUUCAUUCUCCGAGAUGACAUAUAGAGUCACCGAGUAUAUUCAUCAUAACGUACAUUCUCCAAGAUAACAUGUCGAGCCACCGAGCUGUUAUGGCAUGUCGUCCAUUCUCCAAGAUGAUCUAUAGAAUCACCGAGCCGACAUUUAAUACAGUCCAUUCUCCAAGAUGACCUAUAGGGUCAUCGAGCCGGUAUACAAGCAAUUCUUUCUCAAAAUGACAUGAGAGUCAUCGAGCUGUAAUAGUAUAACGUCCAUUCUCCAGAUGACAUACGAAUCAUCCAGCCGUUAUAGUAUUUUUUUGUUCCGAAGACACGAUCAAUUUCACCCUUUUCAUCAUAUUUGAUAGAAGUACACAUGUGUGGGCACACAGUCGGCCUUAGCCAAAAUACAAUAAUUUCCUUUUUAUUCACUCACUCCCUUCAGCAGUACAAAAAUAGAUUUUUGACGCUGUAGACCGACGCCCGGUAAUUUUCCACUCAAUUACCAAGGUUAUUCAAUUUCUGAAAUAAACAUCCACAACUACUAUUUGCACUCAAUUUGCACAACCAGGUACUCAAUUAAAUAAACAUAGAGCACCACUAAAAUCAGCACGAAAUUCAGAUCGUCGACUAUCCCAGCCUAAUUUCCGGUAAUUAAAUAAUUAAUUAAUUAAUUUCAAAAAUUAAUAAUUAAAUACUAAAAAUCCAAUUUAUGCCCGUAUUGCCUAAUUGAAGCCCAAUAAGGGUCGGGACAAAUCCUGAGAUGCAUUCAAUAAAUAGUAUAGGCAGCUCUCUAGCUAAGUACACUAACCACCUAACUAAAUGCAAUAUAAUUAACUAAUAAUCACUAAUCCAUUCUAGUCUAACCACCUAAUUGCACUUAAUUAAAUCUAAUCAACCCUUAAGCAUCAUUAGUCUACUAAGAAAGGAUUAGUGAGAUUACUCACUUGAUUUGCGAAGAAUGGAACACCGCGAUGGCGGCUGAACUUGGGCCCGCGACAAACUUGGGCCGGGCCAAUAAACUUUACAAGCCCACAGAAAUUUCUAGGCUUGGGCCUGCUGGAAAUCUUGGGCUGAACUUGAUCUGGGCUUCAAGACUGGGCUUAAAUGGGUUUGAAACAAAGCUGAACUGGGCCUGUCUUCGCUGAAGCUGGGCCGGGCUUCAAGUGGCUGAGUUGCUGGACUUCACUGAAUUGGGCCGGGCUUCAAGACUGAAGACUUGGGCUGCUGUGGGAAUUUUUUUGUGGGUUGAACGUGUGAGGAUGCUAGGCCAAAUCCUUGCGGCCUCGUGGAUGCUGAGGAAGUUGGGCCGAUAGGCUGAGGAAAUGAAGACGGCUGAAGACACGUGAUGGAGGAAGGCUGGCAGGGGGAAAGAUGUUCGCUGGUGGGGAUGAACGUGGCAGCAAGCGGCUGGGCUCCGGUCUUCGUAGCUGGGAGUCAACACAUAGCCAGGGGAUGAAGCGAAUGAGUGGCAGACGGGCUUGCUGGUGGAGCAAUUUUUGAUGUGGACUGCUUCAAUUGGGCUGAGGGCAGAUGGAAGACACGCAGAUGGAAGCUCGUUUAGUGGGCAUGUGGGGAAGGCACCGACUGGAGGCUCACGGCCAAAUGGCAGCAAAACAAAGCUGCUCGGUCAACCACUGAGUUUCGGUGGGCUUGUUGCUGUUGACCGAAGGAGUUUAGGCCAUGGACGCGUGGAGUUGUGCGUGGAUGGAGAGAUCACGAGCGUCAACGGCAGAGAAUUGGAGGAGCACGUGGGUUCUUCGGGCUUGCUGUUGGCAAUUCGGCAAAGGGGAAGAACGAUCGUGGGCGUGGGGAAUUGAGCUGGCCAGUUUGCUCGGUGGGGAAGCAGAACCAAGUCGAAGCAGCAGUUAAUCUUUGUUGCUGUGGAUGCGCGAGUUCCCGGGAAGAAAGAAUUGGCUGCAUGAUCUGAUGGGGGGGAGAGGGGGUGAGAGAGAGGAUAGAUAUGAAGGAUGAGGGGCCAUUUGCUUUUAAUUCUCACACAAAUAUCUCCUAAAAACCAUUCUUAGCCAUGUUUAGUUUCCUUGGCUCACAAUGGACCACUCAUGCACUCUUCUAGAAGCCAAAAUGGUCCAAAUGUUGUGGCUUAGUGGGGGUACACGAAUUUAGAGGAGGAUGAACUCAAUUGUACAUCAAUUCUCUCUUGAUUUACUUUCAAUUGAUUCCCAUAAUUUCAAUUGGUACUUCAAUGCCUCAAUUGAUAAUUUUCCUCGUCCAAGAACCCAUCUUGCAUCUCAAUUUUGCCUCCAAAACUAAUCCUCGGCUUGUUCUGCACAAAAACGGCCAUGCGAUGACUUUUCCCCAAAAAGUCUCAGUUGUCAGAAAAAUCUUCUGAGACUGAGUCGAUACUUCUAGAAUUUAUUGUGACAUGAUGGAAACUUCGAUUUCCAAAAUCGGACUUGAAUUCGUAGUUAAUUUCCAUUUGGCGCUUUUUAGCGUGACCUAAACUAUCAGGUUGUUUUCAGAACUAUUUAGGGCAAAUGACCCAUGGUCGAUUUUCUUCGAGCCACUAUGAACCCACUCGACUCAAUGGCGACUCUCGAUUGUCGUGAAAAUCUCGAUGAUUCAAUUACGGACACAGGGCACCAAAACGAUAGUAAAAUCAAAUUUGUGUCGGUCGAUGAGAAUUUCCCAAUUUAGUGGAGUCACCCACGAUCGGCCAAACAUCUCAGUCAAACAGAUCUAUCUCUGAUCUCAAAUGGAUUUUUUUAACUGUGCCGUAAUGGCCUCUAAAGACAAUCACGGUCAAGAAGCCGAUUCUUAGUCGAAUUCUCUAGUCUAUUUGCCUUAAAGUCGUUAAUAGCUUCUCCAAAUAGUCUAGUUAUCUCGAGAGUGAUUAGCUCUGAGAACAACCUAUAGACGCGUCAAUGAAAUGCUCGAUUAAUUCAAUAGAAAACAGAUCUGAAAAUUCAGGAUGUCACAACCUCACCCAGCUAAGGCGAAGCCGAGCCUCGCACAACCACAAUAAGGCUUGGCCUCCUUAGCCAGCGCGAGGCUCGCCUGGCCACCGGCAAGGCUCGGCCUCGCCCAGAUCUGGUGAGGCCGAGGCUCGCCGUGGACAGGCUGGCCUUCGGCGAGCUUGUCAGACCUCACCCAGGCGGUGGUCGGCGACUGGCCAAAGAGAAAAGGAAAAAGGAAAAGAUAAGAAAAUAUAAUAAAAGAAUUAAAAACUCUAACAAUCAUGCCAAACUUAUUUUUGUACUGAGACUAGAAAUUUUGGAAAGUUACCAAAUGAGUUCUUUUGCUCAGAAAUUGUUCUUGAGAUGAGAAUAAAAAAAAAAACCAUUUAUGAUAAAAAUUAUUCUCUAGAACAGAAUUGUUACCAAACGUGGCUCUAAGUUUCUACCUUAUGGGAUAAAAGUUGUGAAAAUAUCCAGCCUCUCCUUUAUUGAAGGAAAAUCAUAGAACAUAAGUUGAGCCAGCUAGGUCUCAAAAGUGUGAUCUGCUGCUUCUCAUCAAAUGCAACACAUAACUAGACAAUGAUAAAAUAAAGAAAAAGCAUCCUUGGAAAGAAAAUUGAAUUAGAAUUAUUAGUAGAUAGAUGAACCCAUGAACCUUGCGCAAAACAAGAGAGCACUUCAUGCAGCAAAUGUCAUGAUGACUAAGAAAUUGCAUGUGCUCGAUGUAACAAGCCUCAAACGAUCAGAAUCAGUUGAUGCCAUUAUAAAGGCUCAAUACCAGCAUAAUACAUGUCUUGCAAGCUACUUCAACAACUGAAAAGUAAUUUAUGCAAUCCCAUCAUUUGUUACCUACUUUUUGAUACAUAUGUAGUCAAUAUUGUGCAUCCAAUGUUAAACAGUUCUAAAUCAAGGAAAAGUCAUGUCUAGCAUUUUAUUGUCUAACUUGAAGGUUAUUACAUAGUAUCCAUACUAAAUGCUUCAUAAAAAAUGUUUGUCGAAGUGUUCAUAAUGGCCAUGCAAUUUGCAGUAGCAAUUGAUAGUUAGUGUGCCAUUAGAAGAGAAUACUUUUUGUUCAUAUUAUACAAAAUUAUUACCUUUUUUCCGCCAACACAAACACACCGGUUAAAACUGCAACACCAUCUAAUUCGGUAAAAAAAUGCACCAACGAAUAACAUACCAGUAGUGACUCAUAAAAUUAGAUAGAUUUUACAUGACCACCUUAUAAUUACUUUUGAAUGCAAGAAACUAAAUUCAUUGAUGACAUGAUCAGUGACCCAAUAUUAUCAUGCCCCCUCUUUGAAGUAAUGAAUCAAAUUCAUCGAAAAAGAGAUGGCAAGGUGUUGCAUCUACUGCCUUCAAGAAUAUAUCAGAACCUGUAGUUUUCUAAUUGUCGUUACUAUCAAAUAUUCAAAAUCUCUCCAUUUUGCUGACAAAAUCAACGAUCAUAAAAUCCCGAGGAUUUUCCCUUCGACUGAAACGAAACUCGCGAACCUACUUCAGACAGCUUCACUCUCCUAUAUCUCGGUUCGAAGGUGGAUGGACACAGAUCCCGAACAAUGGAGCAGAGCGAUGAGGAGACUCUGAACACGUAAUCGACUCUAAAGGACGAUCGGAAUAGAAACGACCUGGCAGGGGUAGUGCCGAUUCCUAUCCUCCUUGGUUCCCUUCAGCCGAGCUCUUCGAUGGCCAAAUCCUUUUUCAAGCGAGCGUCCAGCAUCCUCUCCUUCUCGCUCUCGGCUAACUCUCUUUCUCCCUCGUGAAUCUCUCUUCAGCCUAUCUCUCUGCAACUUGCCUCUUCAACGGCCGCCCUCUCGAAGACCGGCGGCAUCUCUCCUCCUCCUGUUAUGCGAACAGGAUCCUCUUGAGGCGAGCAUCCUUU